RNAcentral lists this long non-coding RNA (80411 nucleotides) under Ananas comosus (pineapple). Its description in RNAcentral is "long non-coding RNA (ACOM_LNC007458)". The record is from RNAcentral. Lineage: Eukaryota; Viridiplantae; Streptophyta; Magnoliopsida; Poales; Bromeliaceae.
GAACUGCCUAGUCCAUGGAUAGGUACAAGUUCAGGUAUAAAUAAGAAUUAGACCAAUUUUGCGUUUGGAUGAAAAUUGAGUUAUUCCCGGGAAUAAGAAAAAUACUGUUUGGAUAGAUAAGAUGGAAUAAGAAGAAUAGUAGGUAAUUAUAAAUAGAAAAUAAUGAUAUUGCACCUUAUAUUAUAUUUGAAUUUAAAAUUUAAAAUUUAAAUAUAUAACUUUUAAAUUUCAAAAAAUUAAAUUAAAAUUAAAAUUUUUAAUUUUUAAAUCUCAAAUUCACAAAUUUAAAGUUCUAAAUUUGAAAUUAAGAUUAAAUCUAAAUUUAUAUAUAUAAAAUAUUAAAAUUUAAAUUUUAAAAAUUUAAAAUAUAACUAUAAAUUUAAAAUUUAAAAUUUAGAAUUUAAAAUUAUAAAAUUUUAAUUUUAAGAUUAUAAAUUAUAAAUUUUUAAAAUUUAAAAUUUAAAGUUAAAUUUUUAAAAAAAUUAAACAGGGGUGGGGGUAGGAACAACUGUUCCCAUCCCUAUUCCCACAAAGGGGUGGGACAAUUAUCCCACCCUAACGGGUUAUCCCAGUCCUGGGUCAUAUAUUACAUGUUGACAUGCGUUGUGUCAUUUGUCGAGCUUCCCUGUAAAACCAUGAGGGUAUUUUUGAAGGAGCUAAGAAUACUUUUUAAAACGGUUCUACAUGAAUGAAAUCUUUAAGAAGGUUUCUACUGUUCUCUUGGAACUCUCUUAUGAGGCAUAUUACGAACUGAUAAAAUUACAUCAAUGUAAAUUUGCAAAACCUCCAUUUCUCAUAAAUUUUUUUCUAUUGCCAUCUAGUUGCAUGAAAAUGAUGGGAUACCCUUGAUAUAUGCAUGUAAAUGUAUCUUAUAUUCGAGUCAUAGUAGAAUGAAUAUAUGAGUAAAACCAAAGAAGUAAAUAAUGAAGUGCAGCCUCUCAUGAAAGUGGUUGGUGUGGGGAAGGAAAAAUAUGAAAAGUUGAACGCACUUGAGUUUGAUGGAUUGCCAAUAAUGUAAUCUUUAUUUACCAAUAUAAUGGUCGUCAAGUUUCACAUCAUAACCCAUGAGGGUCCUUGGACCUUGGUACAUCUAAUUAUCAAAAUCCAAAAAUUGCUAUAUGGUAUCAUAAUGAGGCUAGUUUUUUUUUUAAUACAUGAACCCUUGUGUAAGAAAUCAAUAUAUUUGAAUUGUUACAUUGUCUUAGUGUCGCUAUUGAUUGCAUUAUAUAGUGGUGGAGGGAUAUAUCACUAUUUUGCUAGGAUCGGCCUAUAUUACCAUGUGUUGUCGUGAUACAUUAACGUAGGUUGAUUUGUAUUAGUUAGGGAUCGGUGUCAGUUUCUUAUGUUGUUCUGAUUAUUCAGAAUACAACAUUUUCUGUGAUUUUCUGCUACUGGCUUCUUUAUACAUUGCAGGAAUUUGAGUUUUUGGGGUUUCAUGGUUUCUUAUUUACCAUGUUCACUGCUAUAAAUACUUCCCUUUAAAUUGGUUUUUUAUCCUGGUGAUGUUUUUAGCACAUAGAGCUGUCAGAAUCAUAAACAAAUUUUGUACUUGGGUGCUACUUUUGCAGGGAACCACGGGGCUUUGGCUUUGUCAAAUUCCGUUAUGCUGAUGAUGCAGCAGUGGCCAAGCAGCAAAUGAAUCAUCAGCUUAUUUGUGGACGUGAGAUUUCGAUUGUAUAUGCUGAAGAAAACAGAAAAACUCCGCAAGAAAUGCGCACGAACAGUAGAAUAAGGUAUUUUAUCAUUUUAUUUUUCUCCUCUUUUAAAUUACCACUUCAUUCGUGAUAUAUUGAAUGUAGUUUACAAUUUACAUUAUCCAAGUACUUAUAUGCUUUUGCUCGUGCAGUGAUAGAUACAAGGGCGAUGGUUAUAGAAGACGAUCCUCACCAAGAUCCCCUAGGCAUCAACACCAUUGUAAGUAAAUAGAGCUCUUACAAUCUAUACUUUUUUUUUUUUUUUUUUUAAUCUUUUUUGCUAUAAAUCAUAUUUAUGUACAAAAUUCCUGAAGUAGUAUUGCUGGUUUCUUGAACUUGAUUCACGUUAUUAUUUUUCUCAUCUUGGCAGCAUAUUCACGUUCACCUUCACCGCCCAGGCGUGACUCAAGGUGUGAUUUUUUCUUUAAUUUUUUAAUUUUUAGUUUGGUUAACCCGUAUUAGAUUUUUAUAGCAUUUUUAUUAAAAAGACCACAUCUUGUUUAAAUCAUAUUCAGAUAUAACUAAAUUAGUGGAGAUGUUUGAACUUUAUGGUUAAUUGCAUUUUUAUUUGCAUUUUCAAAAAUAAUAGUUAUUAGGAAAUUUCUCAUAUUGCUAUGCAAGCUUUAAAAUAUCGGAUUUCACCAUGGAUAUGAGUUCUUUUAAUGAUGUUUUUUGUUAUUUGCAAACUUAAUCAUGCUGCGCUGUGUUCUGUGCUUCAGGACGUUUGAACGACUUGUUAGUAUGUUGCUUAUGCAGAUCAUUAAAGUCAAAGAGUUCGUAAAGUUCAAAGGCUUAUACUAAUGACUAAAGAGAAAGUGAACCAAAAGAAUUUGGCUAUUUCCUUGAUCUUAUUUCAAAGCUAUUCAAGAAGUUUCGGUUAAUCCAGCUUCGCCAACAUAACUCACUACUGAUCAUAUGGUUUGUUAGAUAAAUUCACUAUCCAUAGUAACUUUAUGCUUUUGUUAUCCAAAUGAGAUAUUUCAUUCUAGUGUUCUCUGAAUCUUACUAGUUUCGCUUUGCAAUUAUCCAGUCAAGAGAGAAUCUAGAGGUAAAAAAGCAAUAAAGAAACUUGAUUACCAGAACCAAAACUAGAAAGUAUCAUGAUCUCCAGAGAGUUGGAGCCCUUCAAAAGUCUCGCAGCUAAAGAUUGAGGAUACAAUCACAAGUGACAAAUGUGUUGGCUAAGAAAGUAGAGGCAAAGAUUUGUUGGGAGAGAACUGAUGCUGUUGAACAACCAACUGCAUUUUAAAGCCGUAUUCAUACAUGUUUGGAUCGAGUUCAUAAAAUUUGUGGGAAUUUGAGAUGUUACAGGUAAAAGUAGUAUUAUUCGCUAUUUAAAUUUGAUUUGGGGGAGGCCCAAGUCAGGGAGAAUCUACAGUCUGAGUUUACUUCUUUUCUACAUCAUUUUCUGACUGUAGUGCUAAUUUGAGUAGCACUACAUGUUUUUAUUAUUUUCCGUGCACUGGAACCCCUGUAAUGGGAUUCUUUAAUUUUUUUCGAUUGCUUGUUGUUCUCCUUUUAUUUUUUAUUUUGUUAUGCAGGGACAGGAAAAGGAGCUCACGUGAUGAUUAUUACUCUCCUGCAAAGUCCAUCUCCCCUCCUCGAGAGGAGAGGGAGUAUCGAUCAAAUCGGCGAUCUCCAACUCCCCAGGAUGAUGGCCGUGGUCCAUCUCCUAGGAAGGAUAGCCGUGGCCCCUUUACUAAGGAGGAUAGCCGGAGCCCAUCACGCUCUCGUUCUCCAUCCUGCAGGUUUUUAACCUCUGAUAUUUCAUAAAAUUUCUUCGCUUAUUAUUUGUUGUGCCUGUACUUUUCCGGAACUUCUUAUUGGCGAUCUUAUUGUCUACAGCCGCUAGAUGACGAGCUCGAAUUUCUGACCAAGAUAGCAGCAGUGAAUGGCUUAAUACAAGAAGUCAUGAAACCUUCGUAAAGAGCGGAAAUUAGUUUUGGUCAACAGUCAGAAAAUGUGUACCUGUGCACUAUUUGAAGAGUGUGCAUCGUAGAAGGUCUUAAAGUUGCACUCUCGGCUAGUUCAACUUUUUAAUUAAAAAAAAAAAAAGAUCUUUACAUGUUAUUCAGGUUUGUAAAAAUGAUAUCUGCUUCAGCUCUAAAUUGUUGUUUAGAUCACGCGAGUUCAUUUCGCUUUUGUAUUGUGGUUUGGCUUUUGUUGCAGCAAACCAGUUUUGUUGUACUAAAGAAUGAUUGUGAACUCACAGCUGCUUCUGUUUUUUUGUGUUGUUUUGGAAACUAUUUCUAGGUCAAGUAUUCUCGUGUGUUCUCUAGGAAUGCGUUUGAGAAGUUACCUCAGUAAUGCAAGUCAAUAUUUUUAUUUUUAUUUUUAUUUUUUUUUAUUUUGAUACUUUUAAAAUGCAUAUAUUCUGAGUGAUUUUGACGAGCGUAAGCAAAUUCGGUGACUCUGAGCUUCUGGUUUGUUGUGAUUUAGUUUCGUGAACAAAAAAUAUUUGCUGACCCAAAAAUGCUUGUCUAAAUGCUAAAAUAUUUGCUUGACCCAAAAGUGCUUGUCUAAAUGCUAUUUCUAAUUAUCGUGUAUGCUCAUAAAUUAUUUCUAAAAUGCUAUUUCGAAAAUAAUUCGGUCCAUAACAUUUUAUUCAAAACAAGUUCUUCACAAAAUCCAUAGAUGGUUUUUUUUUUUUUUUUAUUUCCUGAUUUGGGAGCAAAGUGAUAUUGAGGCAAUUUUUAGGAACUGUGAAUGAAUAGAUGAAGAAACGAACUAGGAUGGUGAAAUUGGGGGUAAGUCUUUGUCUUGUCUCUUACAAUAAAUCUCUAUGUUUUUGAAUUUGAUGUCCGUUUUGUCUUUGGGUUAAUCACACCAUUAAUCUCCAACCUUUUGCCGAUUUUUUAAUUGAGCAUCAUUUUUUCUGUCUUUUACUUAUAAUUAUUAGAUGUCUUUUUUAUUGAUUCAUAUGAUCUUAUGAUGCUUCUCUACUUCCAUUUUGAUUCUUCAAGUUGCUGAAGGUAUUUGAUAUUUUGUUUCAGCAAAAAAGCCUUUGAAUAUCAGCAUGUGAAAUACCAAUUUGUUGCGUUUAAUAUCCAACUAUAGAUCAGUUGCUCUCAAGGUGUUUGAUGUUUUGCUUCAGCGAGAAAGCUUUUGUAUAUUGGAAUGAAUCAAACUGUUAACUUCGCCCCUCUUUGUAUCUAACUAUAGACGAAACUGUUAACUUCGCCCCUCAUUCGCCCAUAACGAUAAGGUUUUUCUCUUGGAAUAUUCCAAUGACGCUAUUAACAAGGUCAAUUUCUACUAGAGAUUGAAAUUUCUUUAUAUUAAAACAAGGUGCUUGUAGAAAAAGUAGACCGAAAAUACUUGUAUUGAUAAAAAAAACAGGGACAAUUACUUGUAUACCUCUGAAAAAUUUUCGACUUUCUAAUUUAUUCUUCUUAGAAGGUUAAUAUUGAAAAUAUCUUUUUAACGUUCCAACCUAUUUCUAAUAUAUCUCUAGAGUUAAAAUCUGUUAUGUUAAUGAACUCUGUUAUCUCUAUGAAAUUACUAUUUUGCCUUUUUAAAUAUACACUUUUACCAUCACCGAUUUUUUUUAUUAUUUUGUCCUUAAGUUAGAAGUACAAAAAGUAUUCUUUUCAAAUAUACUUUUCUACCAUCACCAGUAUUUCUUAUUUACCCUUAAGUUAAGAGCAAAAAUGGUAUUUUAAUUUUUUCUAACUGUGGUAGAUAUUUAACUCACGUUUAACCCAAGUUAACUUAACGGGUAGGUAACUGCAGGAAUAUUUUGGAAUAACAGAGAAAUAUAUGGGGUGUAUAUUGAAAGGAAAAAAAAAAAAAAGUAAAAAUAAAUGAGAUAUUUCUAAAGUUUUCAGGGAUAUAUAGAUAGUUAUCCCAUAAAAAACAUGGGGAAGUUACAAGCUUUAGGCUUAUUAGGUUCUUUGCUGAGACUUGACCUUCUCGACGACGACGCAUGCUUCGUUUGACCACCGCUUAAAUCGGACUGAACUGAAUCGAAUAGACUCCGUUCACCUCUCAAUCAUUGGAUUGACGGACGAACACGCAAAUUUCGAACCACAAAUUUUGAUCCAGAAGAGAGAAUAUCAGUUUCCGCAAAGUGAACUUUUAAUAUCGUCUCGAAAAGGUGGAAUGUUAGAAGAAGCACAAUUAGUCACCUCAUUUUAAAUCUGCGCUUGCGAUCGACUACAUGUACACAGUUUAACAUACAUGAGAGGCCAAGGGCAAAAGAAGAAAUAAUUGAUAUUUCAAAUGCUUGAACCGCUUUUUAACGCGGCUUUAUUCUUAUCGUCACUGCUUAACAACUGCAAAGUAUAUAUAGUACAUAUCCUAAAGCAUAAUAAUACAUAUUCUAACUCGUGCUUAUUUGAAAGAUCUUAUAAUGGCUCUUUUUUAGAAAUAUGUGUAUUCAAAGACAACCAAGAUAAUUGUGCUGGUCGUGCUGGGCCUAGGAAUACAAACAGGGCAGAUUUGGGGUUGGGAGGGAUCCUCCACCUCGUCUCAUUUUUUUAGGCAGUGCUUGGUUCGGGAACAAGAGGGAAUAAGCCCUUGUUCUCUCUUUUGUUCCCAAACAAAAAUUUGUGUACCCGAAAACGGUAGUUCUCGAGUCUCUGAAAUAAACUGGUAUAAUAAUAAGCUUGUUCACAAAUAGGAAUAAGAUUAAUUAAAGCCUAAAUUUAAUUUUAAUUAUCAUAUUAAAUUAUUAAUUAAUUUAAUUAAUAUAUUUAAAUCAUUAUCUAUUGCUUAAAUAAUAAAGUAAUUGAUUAUUAGUAUUUUAAUAUGUUUAUCUAUAAACUAAUAUUUAUAUUGAUCAACGAUUAAUAUUUUUAUUAAUCUAAUUAAUAUUUUUUACUAGUUAUCUUAUUAAAAUAAUUUACUAGCUAAUUAAAAAGUUAACUUAUUUUUUAUAAUUAAUUAAUUAAUUAAUGUAUUUUCAUUAUCUUAUAUAAUAUUCAUAGCUAAUAAAUUUAUUAAUUUAUUAAAUUAUUUUUAAUUAAUAUUUUGAUGUUAAUUAAUUAGAUAAAAUAAUUUUAAUUUAAAAUUAUAACUCGUAUUCCUCUUGUUCCAAUGAAUCCAAUCUAACCAUCUAAAUACUAUUUAUCUUAUAUUUAAGGAUAACUCAAUUUUCAUCCAAACGCAAAAUUGGUCUAAUUCUCGCUUAUACCUGAAUUUGUAUCUAUUCAUAAAAUAAACAGUUUUUACUUAUAUCCGAACCAACCGAUCGUCUCUAGAGCAAAUGGCAAAGGGCUUGGUGGUUGGUAUUCGAGGUGUUAAAUUCGAAUCUUAGUUGAUUCAUAUUUCCAGCUAAAUUUAUUUCUAAGUGAAAUAAAUGAAGCAAGUAGCGUGCUACCUAUCUCUCUCAAAAAAAAAAAAAACUUAUAUCCGAACCAAAUGCAACAUUAGUGAAUAGGGAUGAACACCGCGGGGAAUUAAUCGCUCGCAGUUCGGAUGGAUCAAAACAGGAACGGAUGUUUGGCAGAUUUUUGACACUGAUGAAGCAAGAAAAGGAAGGGAUCCAUCACCUUCUGAUGGAGUCAGAACGAAUUAUUAGUAAUUUUUUUUUUUUUUUAUCCUCACUUUCUACUGCACAAUAUAACUUAACUGUAUUUUCUUUCUCCUUUUUUCUUAAUAUCUUUUUUCAUUCUUUUUCUUCUCUUGAAAUAAAAUUUAAACUUUAUAAAAUUCGAGUAGUUUUUUUUGAAAAAAAAUAUAGAAAAAUUUGAUCGGCCCGUGCUCCGGCAAGGUAGGGCCUGAUCCGGACAAUGGUCCUGAAAAGGUUGGCCCAAGAUUACGCGGUUCUGGUCCCUGCUGGGCCACUGUGUCUUUGGGGCCCCAAAAUUUGUUAAUUAAAAGAUUGUGCCCAUGCAAUUAUAAGAAGUGGACAAUCUCAACUAAAGUUUUGUUUUGGUAUUCCAUUUUUUUUUUUUUUUUUUAAAAGAAGCUGAAUUUAUAUUUUAAAAUGCCAAAAAAAUUUAAAAAUAUUCAUUAUUUUUUUCUUCUCCAUUGACUUAACAGUUCAGCGGCAAUCGCCUUCGAUAAAGACAUGCAAAAUCUGAUACUUCAGAAAAUGCAAUUCCAAACAAGACCUAAGAUCGGCCCAUACGGGAUUCUGGUUAGUUUAUCAGAAAAGUGUAAAAAAAAAUUCAAAAAAAUUUUUGACACAGAAAAAUUAUUUUUUCACUUUUUUGUCCGUUUAGUUCUACGAAAAUAAAUUUUUCUGGAAAUUAUUUUUUUCGUAUUUUAUGAAAAAUUAGUAUUUUCGAUAGCCUAAAAGAAAAUUAGGAAAAUAAAAAAAAUACUAGUUUUCUAUGAAAUAUAGGAAAAGAAAUUUAAAUAUUUAUUGUCCUUCAAACCAUACUGAGCGAAAAUUGGAAAAGAAGUUUUUCAUGAAAUUUUUUUUCUUUGAAGAACUUUUUUCCACUUGGAACCGAAGAAUGGUAACAUGACCAAUUACCAGAAUAAACCAGUUGGAUUUCCUUUCUUGGGUUAGUUUCAUUUGUACCCUCACAAAGUUAUGAAAUAUCAUAAAUACCCUUCGAAUUUUUAAAAUUUCACAAAUGCCCCUCUAAAUACAACAUUUCUUUCAUAAAUACCCUUAUCGAUAUUUUUUGCUAACUUCACAAAUGCCCCUCUAAAUACAACAUUUCUUUUAUAAAUACCCUUAUCGUUAUUUUUUGCUAACUUCUGUCAACAUAGCAUUUUUUUUUUACCAUUUUACCCUUAAUUUGUUCACUAUUUGUUUAAAAUCAAACUUUUUUCACUUAUUUUUUGAUAUUUAUUCUAAAACUAUCAACUAUAGGUCAUUUGAGUAAAUCCUUGAAGUUUUUAUUAAUUUUUCUUUUUUGAACAGAAACUUAUUUAAUUUUAUAUAUUAGGAAGUUAUUAAAAUUAUUAAAUUUGUUUGAAUCAUUAAUGGAUUAGAUAAAAUCUCUAAUUUAAUAAUAAAAAAUCAUUCAAUUUAAGAAAAUAAAAUUUAAGAAGACUUAAUUAAAAAGUUAAAUUUAGGAGGUUAUUUCAUAAUGGGGCUGUAAUUGAGGGGGUCUCCAUAUAUUCAAAAAAAAUUGUGAGGGUGGUGAUUAAAUUAAAAUAGAGAGUAAACUUGGUAUUUUGAAGCUAGUAUAUAUAACAGAUUGCUACCAAUGAGGAUAUUUUUUAAACUUUUCCAUACUUUUGGAGGGCAAUUAUGAAAUUUUAAAAUUUUGAAGGGUAUUCAUGAAAUUAGAACUACUUGGAAGGGUAUUGAAGAAAAUUUUCCUUUAUUUCAUUGUCUUAUAAAGGGUAAAUUGCACGUUUGGUCCUCAAACUAUGAGGCAUGUGACAUUUUAGUUCUCAAAUUUUAAUUUAUUAUAAUUUUUUGUUUGAAUUUUCAGAAUUAUUGCAAUCAAAUCCUACAACCCAAUUUAGUUAAAUAAAUAUUGAUGCAUCGAUGAUGUAAAAGCGAUAUGACAUCUUAAUUAUUGGCGUAUUACUAAUUACAACAUUGUUAUAUUAUUUUUACAUUAGCAAUAUAUGAAUAUUUAGCCAGCAAAAUCGGAUUAUACGCGUUGUUUGCAAUAGUUCUAAAAAUUUGAGUCAAAACUUAUACAACGUUAUAGUUUGAGAACCAAAGUAUCAUCCAACUCAUAGUUUGAGGACCAAUCUUGAUAUUUACCCUCUUAUCAAUCACAAAUAUGUUUUUUUUUUAGUAGAAACAGGAGGAAAAAUCAUCCACAGCCAAUUUUAUUGCAAGCUAUUUACAUAUUACAAUAUAUAUUGCAAGCUAUUUACAUAUUACAAUAUAUGCAGUAAAAAGAGUAAAUAGAACACCAAAAAUAUAGAUAUCUCAACCUGUCAUACGUCACAAAAUGUAACAUAAAAUUACACAUCCCACAAUACAACUGAAACUAGAAAUAGAUUAAAAUCUCGUAAAAAGCUAAUAACAUCCUUAUUACUUUUUUUUCGGUUAGCAUUCAAGAAACCUAUCAUUUUGUAGUGGCUAAUAACCUGGAGUUGUCGAUGCACUCUUUUUCCAUUUAUAUCUCCAUCCGCACUCUAUACUUUUCUUAUCUGUACGUAGUAAGAUUAUCAGUCCAUAGAGAUUACAAAUUGUUUGAUUUUUUUCAAGUAAAGAGACCCUAGAGGAAAAAUUUUCAUUGAAUAUCACUUCAUAUAUAGUUAACACUUUUUAAUCUAUCAAAUACAACUAUAGAUGCAAAUUUAUGAGCAGUUGUAAAAUUUGCGCGCGCGCGUAACACAGCAAAUAAUUCUAACUUUAUUAAGUAAAACUAAGGUGCAUGCAUCUAAUUUCGUGCUAGAAAAUUGAGGGGCAUGCAUUGAUUAAACCUGGGGCGUCCGAUCCGAUGAAGCAUGAGAAUAAAUUAAUGCAGUGAAAUCCAUGCACGUGAGAUGUUAUCCCCCUGUUUCCUUAUUCCCUAGGCCACCUUUUUGACCUUUUAUUAAACACUAGUGAAGGCCCGCGCUUCCCGGCAGAAAAUUUAUAUAAUUUUUAAAAUAUUUUGAAGAAAACUUUUUAUUUUUUAAUUUUUAAAUCUAAUUUAAAAUUUUAAACAUAAAAAAAUUAAAUAUAAAAUUAUAUAUAAUAAAUACAUAUAUAUUUAUAAAUAAAAUUAGAUAUAUAUAUAUAUAUAUAAGUUAAAAUUAAAAUUUAAAAUGUAAAAUUUAUAUAUAAAAUUUAAAAUUUAAAAUUGUAAAAUUUUCUCUCUCUCUUUCUCUGUUAUUCUCUUUCGUCACCUGACUCCUCUUCUCUCUUCUCUCUUCUCUUCCGCCCCUGGUGCUUGCCCGCGCGCCCCGCCUGUUGCUGCGCCUGGCCCGCGCCGCCGCCCGCCCAUGCCGCCCUGCCCCGCUGCCCGCAGGGCGGCGCUCGCCCCGCCUGCGCCCUGCGCGGCUCCAGCCGCUUGGCUCGCACGCGCCUGCAGUCGCCCGCUGGGGGAGAAGAGAGAUGAGAGCGAGAGAAGAGAGAGACGAGAAGAGCCGGGCGGAUAGGAAAGGGAGAGAAGGGGGGGGGGGGGGAGAGGGGAGAGUGGGAAAGACAGUGGGGGAGAGGGACGGUAAAGAGGAGGAAAAAGGGGAAGCAACUGCGCGCGGGGUGGGGCGCGGGCCUGGGAAUCCGCCAGGGCGACCCGCACUCGACUGGGCGCGCGGUCACACGCACGUGGGGGGGGGCGAGCGCAGAGGGAGAGGGGAAGAGAAGAGUAAGAGCAGAAGCGCCGAGCGGCGGGGGGGGGGCAUGUGCGGGAGGCCCGCACCCCCGCGGUGCGAGAGGGAGCUCUCUCUCUCUCUCUCUCUCUCUCUCUCUUCUUCUACUCUUUCUCUCUCUCUCUCUCUCCCCCUCUCUCUGUCUGCUCUCUCUCUCUCCCUCUGUUCUCUCUCUCUCUCCCCCUCUCUCUGUAUGCUCUCUCUCUCCUCCCUCUGUUCUCUCUCUCCAUCUCUCUCUCACGCGGGAGGCCCCCGCAAAACGCGGGGAGCGCGCCGUAGGCCACAGGAGAACUCUCGAUUCAAUUUAUCUAUAGAUUCUCACUUUUUCAUGCACGUGCGCCACGGAGUCCCAGGGGAAUAUAUAUAAAACCUUCAAUCUUAAUAAGCAAAUGUUACAUGCAUGCGCCUCAAAUUUUUUGGCUUAACUUGCUUUUUGAUGCAAUAAGAAUUUGGGUUAAUUGCGUACAACUGUAUGUAAACAUAUCUUUUAUAAAAUUCAACUCUUCAUACUUAAUUCACGUAAAAGCCCUAACUUUUUCAAAUAUAUCCUCUGCUGUUAGCAUCCGUUAGAAAAAUAUAGCUAACCAUAGUUAAAAUACUUAACGAUGGUUAGUGAAUGAGAUAAAUUGAUAUUUUUAUCUCUCUUAUAUUAUUUGUGAUGGUAGAAAGAAAUAAAAUGAUCGUUAGAGAUUUUUAAGAUGAUAUUUUUACAUAAUUCUAACAGUUGGGAGUUUUGGAGGGACAUAAUUGUGAUGACAAAAAUAUCAUUUAACUCAUUUUCUGUUAAAAAAUAAAUAAUGUUCUAGCAGUAACAAAUCAGAAGAGCAAAUAUGAAUAUCACUGAAUUUUUAUAGGAAUAAAUAUUAAAGUUGAACUUUAUAGAAAUAUAUUUGCUAUUCGAUAUGUUUAUAACUAUAUGAAAUUAACCUUAAGAAUUUUUGUGGAACGUCCAAACCUUGCCUAGCACCUGGAUUUGAUGAUUGAUAUCCGAAAUUAUUCCAAUGUUUUAAUUCGAAACUUAGUUGUUCUCUUAAUUUUUUUUUUUUUUGUUUUAAAGAUCUGUGGUGGUGGUGUGGAUUAAUUUAAUUUGUUAGAACUGGAAUGUCUAAAUUGAAUUUGUUUUUUAAUUUGACUGGUAUGUAAAACCGUAACAAAAAAUAUUUCUAUUUAAGUUGUGAUUUAGUUAUUUAUGUAUUAUUUUCUUUUCUGGAAGGUUAUUAGCGAGAGAAUAUAGUGAGUCUAUUUUAGAGACUAGGAUUUUUUUUUGGGAAAUAAUUUUUAUACUUUAGUCUUUUUCUUUUGUGGACAUAAGCUAGUGACUAAACUACUGAAAUUAUUUAUUCAAUUUUUUUUUUCAUUUUUUGUAUUUCAUAUAUGAAUUAGACAUAUUUUGGCUCUUGUUAUAACAUAAAUAUUUUUGUAGCAAAGAAUAUAUGAUAGAAAUUUUUUAAGUUGAACUAGUAAAUUAUUUAUAGUAAAUAAGUAAUAUUUGCUAUCUUUUUUUAAGCUCAUGAUGACUACUAUCCAACAUAUCUCCACUAAACCAACGCAUCCAAGGCUAAAGAAUACCUAGUAAAUAUUAUUCCUUUUUGUUUAGAGUAAUGCUUCUAUACUUUUUUUAUUUUUUAUUUUAUUACUAUUCAUUCACUUCCAUUCAACGGUUCAGAUUUAAUUUUUUUAAAAUUAUGACCUGCAAUAGCCUUAAGAUGAUGUAACCCUUUUACCUGCUAAAUAUUAAAAUUACUUCUUUACUCUUUAUUAAUCAACGGUUAAGAUUUAUUUUAUUUUUUUAAUAAUAAAAUAUUGAAUUAUUUCUCUUUUGUUUAAAUAGUAAACGACGUACCAUAGUACAAGCAGAGGUGGAUAAUGUGACGUCCAAUAGUUCGGAUAGAAAAAAAAAAUUAUUAUAGGGAAUAUAAGACUAAAUAGUUCAGUACUAACUAUUACAUGGACUAUUGUAGGAAAUAUAUAUAAAGUUAAAUAGUCAAGUACUAAAUAUUUUAGACUAGGUAAUAGUUUUGAGUCCAAUAAAUUAUUUACGCAUAUGAAUGAGUACUUGGAUCCAUGCAUGCGAUAUUAAAAUAGUUAUCAGUUGAAAGUGUAAAAAUUAAUUAUUAUGUGAAAAUAAAGUGCUGUACUAUAUAUUAAUUAAAAUUAUAUUUUAAAAAUUUUACAUUACAUCUAAUAUUGGCUAAAUACUGUGAUAUAUAUUGAUAUCUGAGCUUAAAUAUUUUGAACUAAAAAAUUAGAUUUGAUAAAUUAGAACUUGGCUGUUAUUAAGCAGGAUAAUUGCUCAAAAAAUAUGUAAGGAGUACUUGAGAGGGAAAAAGGAGCCACCAAUCGAAUAUAUUUUCCGUGUCAAGUGAGCUAUAAUAAAAAAAGUGAUUGAUGGGGAGGUAAAUAGCUAGGUAACAAUGCACGGAGAUGCUUCCACAUGGAAACGGGCCGUAUACAAGGGCACAAAGCACCUUGCUGUAGCAUCUCUAGUGGAAGGGUAGUUUCUCUGUAGAUAGGAAAUAAGAUUACCACGUUAGGAUAACCGCGCGUUUGCGUAAGAGACCAAUGGCCACACCAAAUUCCAUUAUUCCAUGUGUCCAUACAUAUAUAUAUAUAUAUAUAUAUAUAUAUAGUAGGGCUACUGUGCUAUUAAAAGUACAGCAAUUCUUGUGGUCUUAAGUUCUUAACCGCCCAUCAAAUUUGAUGGAUGGUUAGGGUGAAAGGAAGAAAAGUAAUUGGAGAGAAGUUGAGUUUCUCAAUUUCUCUUCUUCUUUUCAUUCUAACUACCUAUCAAUUUGAUGGGUGAUUAAGAACUUAGGAGCAAAGCACACAGUAGCCCUACUCUCUCUCUCUCUCUCUCUCUCUCUCUCUCUCUAUAUAUAUAUAAUAAUAUAUAAGAGUUGAGCUAUGAUACUUUUACGAAGUAUCACCAUCAUGGUGCUAUUAGGUUUUAAGCCAUUAGAUCUACUUUUUGAUUAUAAUAGCCAUUGGAUUAAACACUAUUCCAUCUACCACCACCUAACCACCAUCAUUCUCAACCUUCACAUCUCUCCAUCCAAGGGCUAAAAACGCACAAGUAUCACCUCCAUGAUACUUUUACAAGUAUUCUAGCCCUACUAUUAGUAUAUAUAUAUAUAUAUAUAUAUAUAUAUAAUAUAUAUAUAGAAAGUACGUAUUUCAAAUUUGGGUCUGUCGACAGACCCAUGUUUUGGCGGAAAAAAAAUAUUGAUAUUCUCUUUCCUUACGUAAAAUAAAUAACGUAAUGAAACAAACUUUAUAUUUCUGUUUAUCUCUAAACUAGAAAAAAGAUAUACUUAUCCAAAUUUUUGCCAACCAAAAGAUACUUACUGUGAAUCUAUAUUUUAAUUAAAAUUUUAUUUAAUUUUUUAUUUUAAAAUAGAAAAAAAAUUUGAUGCUUAUCCAAAUUUUUGCCAGAAUACUAUUGUAAAUCUAUAUUUUCAAUUCAAAAUUUAAAUUUUGGGGCUAUCAAUAUAUAUUACAAUGAAAAUAAUUUAAAAGAUAGAUUGUUGAUAAAUUUGAAAUCAUAUUCUUUGAAUUAAUAUGAUGUAUAAAUUAUGAUCAAUUUGUAAAAAAUUUCUCAAUAAGAACGAGAUGAUUAUGACCAAUUUGUUAAAAAAAAAAUAUUUAUAACUUAUCUAUAACUUUAAUUUUACGAACGGUUAUUGAUCAAUUAGUUAAAAUAUUAGAAACUAAAAAUGAACUGUUAUAUCAAUCUUGUUAAAAAGUAUCACUUCUACCCAUUUAUUUUACAUUUUAAUGUUAUUAAUUAGAAUUAAAUUAAAUUUUUUAUUGAUAUCAAAUUAUCAUUAUUUUAUAAAUUGAUAUGUAAGAUAUUUUCUAAUAAAUUGUUAAAUAUAAAUUUAGGAAAACAUUAAAUAUUUUUUAAAUAUAUAUUUCAAUGUUUAUUGAUUUAAAUAAAUGAAAAAAUUAUUACGUGCAGUUGUACGUACACUUAACUAGUGUGAUAAUAUAUUAAUAAUAUAUAUAUAUAUACACACACACACACUAGCUGAUUGUACGUGCAAAUAUACGUAAAAGUUAUUUUAAUUUAUUUUAAAUAUAAAUUUUUACAUCAUAUUUAUUCAAAAAUUUAUAAUAAAAAUUAUGUUUUAUAAAUGAAUAUGUUAUAUAUUAUUAGAUAAUUUUUUCAAUAUAUACAUUGAAUAUUUUUUAUAUAUUUUUGAAUUCUGAUAAAUUGAAAAUUUAAGUUUAUUAUUUAAACUAAAAGCGUCAAAAUUUAAUUCACAUUUACUUUGAAAUUUAAUUUUAGUUCACUGUAAUUAAAUAUUUUAAUUUUUAAUUUAAAUUUGACAUCCAAAAUUUAUAAAUUUAAAUUUUUUAAAAUUUAAUUCUGAUCCAUUGUAAUUAAAAUUGUUUAAUUGUUAAUGCAAAUUUGAUAUCAAAAAUUAAAUUCAAUUCAUGAUUUAAAAUCAAAAUUUUAAUUUUAAUGUAAAAUCUAUCGAUAGGAAUACUUUUCUUUAACAGAUUGAUCACAACCGAUAAUUUUUAUUUGAAAUAUAUUUUAACAAAUUAAUCAUAACUAUUCAUAGGAUUUGAUAUAUUGAUAGAUAAGAAUGUUAUUUUUUAACAAAUUGAUCAUAACUAUUUAUUUUUAUUUGAGAUAUUUUUUAACAAACUGAUUAUAACCGUUCGUAGGGAAUAUUCGUUUAUUCCUUUUUAGAUUCCGUCUGUCAUUGUCGUAAUUCCUAUACAUAGAGGGUCGGCUACUAAAGUAUUAGAGGGUCGGCUACUAAACGCUUUUAUAUAUAGUAUAUAUAUAUAUAGAGGGUCGGCUACUAAACUAUUAAUAGCACUAAUCAAGUUUUUCGUCGUUAGAUCUACCUCGUUGAUCAUUUUCAUCUGUUAAAUUUAUACUAGCCUACUAUUAGUAGUAAAUGACUCAGUUUACUAUCAAUUUACUUUUGAUGAUAGAGCUUUCAAGUCUUCGAUCAAUACUGUUGAAUAUGAUCUGUACCUUUUAAACUAUCUGAAAUUAAAUUUUAUAUUUUUUUGAUAUUGUUCUCUUAUCCAUCAAGUAGGCAAAAUAUGAAUGACUGAAUAUAAAUAUUCUUCAAAGAGUAACUAUAUAAUUUUUUGUAUUUAAGAUCUAAAGUCUAGAUCUUGUUUUAAAUAUUGUAAAGUGCUUUUAAACAAAAAUUCAAAUGAUCUCUUAUACCAUUAAACAAGUAGAUGCAUCGUAUUCGUCGUCAAAAUUAUAAAUUUUUAUGACCCUUUGAUCGUUCAGUUAGAGAUAUUGAAAAAUUAUAGAAUUUGGUUUAAAUGGUUUAGAUAAUGUUCGACGGUACCGAUCAUCAAUUUGGAAGCUUUAUCAUCAAAAAUAAAUUAUUAGUAAAUUGAGCAGUUUAUCACAGAUAGUAGCCUAGCAACUCUCUCUCUCUCUCUCUCUCUCUCUCUCUCUCUCUCUCUAUAUAUAUAUAUAUAUAUAUAUAUAUAGUCAGGCUAUGGUGCUUGUAAAAGCACAAAGCACUUGGUAUUUGUAAGUUUUUUACUGUUAGAUCUACGUUUUUGAUCAUUUUCAACCGUUAGAUUAUACUAUUCAACCAACUAUCCACUCAACCCUAAGGGGGUACCAAUCAUGCUCUAACGCAUAUUCCUUAAUCCAAUGUUAAAAAUCUAUAAGCAUCAAUAACUGGUACGUACAUUUAAAAGCAUAGAAACUUAAUUUUAUUAUAUAAUAUACUAUAUAUAUAUAUAUAAUAUAUAUAUAUAUAUAUAUAUAUAUAAUAUAUAUAUUAUAACUAGCAAAAAAUGUUAUAUUUAAUGAACGUAAUUUUUAUAAUUUACGAUAUUAAGUGUUUAACAAGCGUCUCAAUUAUAUUCCAACGUCACUUUUGAAAGUGUCGAUCAAAGCGUUAGCAAAUAAAGAGUCGGCCACGGCAUAUACGACGCUUAUAGCAAGCGUCGAUAAAAAUAUAUUUUGAUACUUUAAAAGUGUCAGGAUUUUUGAAAUUCUGACGCUUUAAAGCGUCGAAAAAUUAAAAAUAAUAGGUAAAAUUUAUCAUCAUUUAAUAAAUUAUUGAUAUUAUAUGACGACGCUUUUUGAAGUGUCGGUAUUUUCUAUAUUGUAAAAUGUAGUGAUAUAUAUAUAUAUAAUAUAUAUAUAUAAUAUAUAUAUAUAAUAUAUAUAUAUAUAUAUUAUAUAUAUAUAUAUAUAUUAUAUAUAUAUAUAGGCCAAUUUGCAUAAAAAAUACACUUAUUUGGCUUUGUAAAACCGGGCCACCUUUUUCGUUUUGUGCAAAUCGGUCCGCUUUUUCAGCAAAGUGACCAAAAAAACCCUUAUUACUUUUCUCUUUCCUCUUUCUCUCUCCUCUUCGUUCUCUUGCGUUCUUUUUUUUUUUGCCGAAAAAAAAAAUAGCGACAGGCGCAGCACCGCCAGGCGGCUCUUCUCUUCUUCUUCUUCCUGCAGGAGCAAUUUGUUUUUCUCUUUUUUUUUAUUCUUCUCUUCCUUCCUGCCUGCUGGAGUAUUUUUUUUUUUUUUUUUUCCCAACUUUUUUCUUUUCUCUUACUCUUCUUUUUCUCCUGUAAGAGCACAGGGCCGCGCACGGCGACUUCCGGCCUCGCCACGGAGCCGACCGCUCGACUCCCGACGCCACCCGCUCAAGCCGGGGAAGCUCUACUUCCUCGUCGACCCACCCGCCGCCGACACCCGAGCCCGACCACAGCCAACGAGGGCGCAACCGGCGUCGGCGCCGGCCGCCGCUCGUUCCUACUAGUUGCCGAGGAAGCCGCGCGUCGACUACGAGCCCGACCGCUCGACCCGACACCCUGCUCAAGCCGGGAGAGCUCUAUUUCCUCCCCCGCGCGACCCCUGAGCCCACCACCCGCCGCAGAUUUCACCAUUAAAACCAUUAAUGUGUAAUGGUGCCAUUACACCAUUAGGAAGAACCGCCAGCCGGGACACGCGAUGCCGUCGCGAGACCGCCGGUUUGACGUGCGCCUCCUCGCGGCGACGGCGACGAGAGGGAGGCGUUGGCGUGCACCGGCCGACUCGAGCUCGCCGACCCCCGACCUCCCCGCGCCUCCGCUCGACCCCGACGCCCGCAGGCCGCCGUGUGCAGCGGCCGCCGUCGUGCCGCGGCGCCCCCAGCUCCGCGCAAGCUCGGCUCGGGGCGCCGUCGCGCGGCAGCGAGCUUCGCCGCCGCUCGCUGUGCCCAGCGGCAUGCGACGAGCCGUGGCGGCUGCGGCGUGGGCGGCAGUUGGCAGCGGCGAAUCGAUGAACACAAAAUCGAUCACAUGGUUGUUGGAAGCUGUAAGGAUGUUUUCUCGAAGCACUAUUAGUGAAGGAACUUAAUUGAUCAGAGUAAUCAAUUCCCGUAUGUUAACUUUUUUUUUUUGAUCCCUCAACUAGCCAGCAAUUUUGGUUAGUGCAUAUUAAACAGGAGAAGUUAAUUAUGCAUCUUGCAUUUCAUCAAACUAUAGCGAUGCAAUGUUAACAAUUAUAUUAAUGAGCAAAUGCUGAUAGCAUUUUUUACAGUUCUUUUUCAAUUUUAUCUUUAUAGUAUACGCUGACCGCGCCGACGCCUGCGCCCACGCGCCCGCCGCGAGCCCAGCCGCGCCACUCGUUCGGCGCGCGCGGUAGCAGCGGCGGCAGAAGUCUGCGCGCUACGGCGCCCCCGAGCCACCGAGCUCUGGCCGGCGGAGCUCGGGCCGCCGCGGCACGCACGAGGCGUGCAGCGCACGCGGCCUGCGGGCAUCGGGUCGAGCGAGGCGGGGGAGGUCGGGGUCGCCGAGCUGCAGAGUGCGGCCGGUGCACGCAACGCCUCCCUCUCCCGUCGCCGUCGCCCAUCGCUAGGGGCAGAGAGGCGGCACUGUCGACUCUGGCGGUCUCGCGCGCAGGCGUCGGCUGUCCGGCUGCUGCGGUUUCUUCGUAAUGGUGAAUGGUGCCCAUUUACACCAUUAAUGGUGAAAUUACACGAUUCAAUGUUUAAUACAAACCCAUACGACACACCAUUAAUGUGUAAUGGUGAAAUCGCGCGGCGGUGGUCGCGGCUCGGGUCGCGCGCGGCAUGGGCGGCGAAUAGAGGUGUCCCGGCCUUGAGGGCAGGGCGUCGCGGUCGAGCGUCGGCUCGUAGUCCGCGACGCGGCGGCUCCUCGGCACUAGAGGAACCGCGAGGCGCCGGCUGCCGGUUGCGCCUCGGCGGGUGGUCGGCUCGAGUUCGCGCGGGGGAGGUCGACGAGAGAAUAGAGCUUCCCCGGCUUGAGGGGCUCGGGUUCGAGGCGUGCGGGCUCCGGCGCGAGGCCGCAUAGUCGCCGUCGGCCCCGUGCUCUUACAGGAAGAAAACAGAAGAAGAAGAAGAGAGGAGGAAAAAAAAAAAAGCUCCACAAGGAGUGAAUAAAACGAAGAAAAAAAAAAGAGAAAAAAAAUUUGCUCCUGUAGGAAGAAGAAGAAAAGAAGAGGCCCGCCUGCGUCCCGGCAGUCGGCUUUUUUUUUUCCGGCGAAAAAAAAAAAGAACGAACGAGAACGAAGACAGAAGAGAGAAAAAGAAAAAGAAACACGUAAUAAGGAUUUUGCAUCAAGUGCUGUGAAAAGCGGACGCCCGAAUUUGGCAAAACGAAUAAAGGUGGCCCGGUUUGCAAAGCCUCAAAAAUGUAAUUUUUAUUACAAAAUGGCCAUAUAUAUAUAUAAGUAUAUAUAUAUAUAUAUAUAUAUAACUAGGCUGGAAUACUAUUAAUAGCACCAAUGACUAGGUGCUAUUAAGUUUUCUGCCCUUGGAUUAAAAGAUAUGCGAUUGGGAUGAUAUGGGCCCUCUAGGGUUGAGUGGGUGGUCGGUUAAAUAGUAUAAUCGAACGGAUGAAAAUGAUAAAAGAGGUAAAUCUAACGGCAGAAAACUUGAUAGCACUAAAUGUUUCGUGCUAUCGAUAGUAUCCCAGCCGGACUCUAUAUAUACUAUCGAUAGUCUCUAGCGCAAGUGGCAAAAUACUUGGUGGUUAGUAUUCGAAAUUUCAAAUUCGAAUCUUAGUUGAUUCACAUUUUAAGUUAAAUUUAUUUCUAAAAGAAAUAACCAAAAGGGAUAACAUACUAUCUUUCUCUCUCUAAAAAAAAAACGAAAAGUAGUUUUUCUGCAAUGUGAUAUGUACAUGCAAGUACAAAAUUUGUGCACAGUGAAAUUCAAUAAUUUUAAAAUUUUGAGAACUAAAAUAUCAUACCCUUUGUAAUUUGAAGACCAAAACUGCAAAUUGGCCUAAAAAAACUUCUAUUUUGUUUUUUGUUUUUUUGUUUUUUUUUUAUAUAUAUAGCAUAGAUAUUAGUUGCGGAAUAUGUGGAUAAGUUGACGUGGAGGUGAGCGCAUCUAUUGCCAUGCACAUCAAAUGUCAAUGCACACUCUUGGGUAGGGACAUGGGCAUGUGCGCGCACAUACAUGCAUGGGGAGAAACAAAGGAGAAAACGACGAUCGAAGAGCAAGCCAGCAUAGUGUUUGAUCGAGUACAGUAUGCUUGUGCUGCAACACGACGCCCAAGUAUGAACUGGACGCACCUCCCCCCACCCUCUCCACACUUUCCAACGCCCAAUAAUAUAUCUUCUUCUAAGAUAAGAAGCAACUAGAUCAUGUGUUAAUUAAUUAUUGGCCCCAUGUUCAGUUAUAUAUCCUUCUUGUGCCAUGGAAUGAGAAGGAUGUCUCUUGCGCUUCAUGCUCUUAAUUUUUAGAUACGUACGUGAAUACUUUAUUAUGUAUAUCUUUUUAACUAUUCAAAAAAAGUAUAGUGUUCGGUAGAUGGUGAUCAAACAUCUAGCCAGAGGGGAUACCACAAUCGACGUUCUAGUCAAAUUUCAGAAAUAAGAUGGAUCAUCUCGUACACGUAGGUGAAAUCAAUUAAACUUCUAACUUCAAGGAAUAAAUCAAACUAGUCCAAUUUGCAUAAAAAAUUCACUAGUUUUAUGCUUUUGUAAAAGUGGACCAUCUUUUUCGACUUUGUAGAUUCGGAUCGAAUUUUCAGCCACCUGACUAAAAUGCUCAUUGUCUACAUCCGCCUCUCGCGUAUUCCCUGAGAUAUGUAUACUCUAACAUACGAUUCUAACUUGCAUUAAAUGCGCCCCUUACGUUUUACGCAACCUCGCUCUCAUCGGAAUCCAAACCAAAUCGGCCCCGUUAUUUGCUAGCCCCGGUAUUUACUGUUCGGCUUUAAGAAAUUAAAUUUGUUGAAGCUACAUGACAAAAACUACGCGGCCAGCAAUAGGAAUAUAUAGUAGUGCAACGCAAAGAAAAAUGGUGCAACAACCCUUCUAACAGUGCAACCUCCGCAUUUAACAGUGCGAUGCUGGCAUUCAAUCUUCUCUCUCACCAGGGCGACAUCCCACUCUCUCGGAAGGCAGUCAGGCAGUCUUCUUCCCAAACCAUAAGAAGCGUAGGGGAGUUUAUUCCAGCACUCGUUUGGAGAGGAGAAGUGAAAGAAGCGUGGCCGAGGGACAUGGCUUUAGAGUCUGCAAGUGGAGGAGAGAGGAGGGAGAAGGGAAGAGGGGGUGCCAUGGUGUAAUAUUCACCUAAUUAGUACAAUAUUUUUAACCAUGUCUAGAAAAGAGCAUAUUAUUUUCUGUAUGUUGUGCUACCGCGAAGGUAGUAGUGCAGAAAAAAGCUCUAAGUUGUGUAACAUAUUCUUAAAUAGUACAAUAGUUUAAAAAAAUGGUGCAACGAGUCUAUAACCAGAGAAAAAAAAUUCUUAACUUAGGUGUAAUAUUAACAUUAAUGAUGUAAUAUUUGCCUAACAUUAAUGCUGUAACGAGUUCAUAACCAACAUAAAUUUUUCUCCCUAAAUGGUGAUUUCAUGAAGUUAAUAGUAAAAACAAGUCUGUAAAUGGCGUAUCGAUCACCAAAACAAUGCAACAUUCUUCGCUAAAUAGUGUAACAAUUUCCUAAGCAAUCCAAACUUUUCUCUGUAUUAGGUGCUAACAUGAAAAUAAUAGUGCAAAUAAUUUCGAAAAUGGUUCUACUAUAAUGAAAAUAAUGCUACAUUCUUGUAGUGGCUCUGGGGUUACACUACAACAGAAUUAGGUUAUAGGGACAUAUGUUUGGGACACUUUUGAGUAAGUGUCCCAUUUAUCGUAAAACUUAAAAAAACAUCUACUAAUGCCUAAAUAUAAAGCCCAAUCCAACCAAAAAUAAAAGAUUACUCUACUCAAGCCACCACACCCAGUCCAUUUGGCCCGAUUAUAAACAGAAAAGAAAAAAAAAAGAAAAAUUAAUUACCAUCUUUUUUUCUCUCUUCACUCAAUCCACUGAAAUUCUAGACGAAGAGCCUUUCCUGUCGUCCUCCUCCGCCACCGCAGCCAAUGAGAUAGAGUUUUGGCGGUUGCUAAAUGCUUAAAUAAGUGUUGGUAAAUUAGCAGCACUCUUUUAGGUUAUAGCGACACUCUUUAACUGUCACUAUAUACCUAGCGACCCCACAUAUAACAACACUUUUUAAAAGUGUCGGUAAUUUUAGCUAGCAGUACUUUUUUGAAAUGUACCUACAUUUAAAAGUAUCGCUAUAGACCGUUUUUGUUGUAGUGUUAGUGGUCGGACUGACGGCAACAUCAGUGGCUUGUCGACACUUCUGUAGAGUGUCAGGACAAGCCGGAGUCGUUUUGGUGCGAAAUAGACGCGAAAAUGGACUCGGAGCUGUGAGAGUUGGAGUUCGGACAUUAAAAUCCGCAAAAAUAGGAUUUUGAGUAUUGUGUACCAGUACCUGAGAGGUGUACCGGUACCCUAGAGGGUUACACGAAGGUGUUUUCUCGGGUUUGUGUAUCUUUGUGUUGAGUACCGGUACUUGUUGGUGAGUAUAUAUACCAGUACCGGGAUUGAAUACUGGUACUGCAUUGGGCUAGUACUGGUACCCAGCGUGCGUGUUUGCUGGCUGAGUGCCGAGUACUGGUACCCAAGUUGAAUACCUAUACUGCAGGUAGCAAAUUGAGUUGGUAAGGGGUCUUUUGGUUAUUUUUGUCGGCGAUAAAUCCCAACCGAUCCCUGUUACUUUCUCACUUGUGUUAAAAUCUUAGAGAAACAGGUAGCUUCUCCGCCUUCUCUCUCUCUAGCUCUCUUGUCUUUUCUUUGUGAAUUUGUGGAAUGAACUCAGUUUCGUUCACCUUGUCUUUGGAGGAUUGCUCGUGCACCUCGGGGGAUUUCUGUUGGAGGUCGAGCUAGUGCGGGGUUUCGCCUAUCGACACUUAGCCGGUGUUGGACGAGCAUUUGAGGUGGGUUAAUAUUUAUCGAAAUCGUCAGAAUUCCUUCUAAGUCGUAGCAAUGUCAGCAUGUAUUUUCUUGGUCGAUCAUCAUGUUUAGUAGCUCAAAUUCAUGAAUUUACCGGCAUAUAUGAAAUUUGAAUUUGGAGCAUAAUCUAAGAAUUUUAGAUAAAUUAUAUGUGCUGAACUGGGACUUGAUUUAGGAGAAAACGAAUUAAACCUACACUGUCACUUUCAAAAUAUUAAUAGAUUUAGCUUCAGGAGCUGAUCUCUUUGUUGUAUCACUACUGUUAGUGCGUCGUGGAUACUUAGAUUAGUGUAGGGUGAGAUUACGCUCGUGCUGAGGAGCCGAGCUUGUUUUACAGUAGAGUUUGAACUGUUUUGUACUAUCGGGUGCCGUCGGGGCGGAUGGUGGACUCAGAUGUUUACAUCUUGUAUCAAAUUAUGCCGAGAGCACGUGAGCCUUGGUUGUUAGACCAGUUUGACCAAUUUGCAUUGACUAUAGCUUGUGUGAGCUUGAUUGAGCUCGAUAGAGACACGUUUUCAUACUCGGUUUGGUUGCUCCCACAAGUGCCGCUCCGGAGUAAGGCUUUUCUUGCGUUGAUGUCGCAGCAGUCUUGUUUGGAAGUGUUCUUGAACCGGCCACCCCCGUGGGUGGUGUGUGGUGUAGCUUGGAUACAGACUGGACUCGCCAGUUGGCGGUCCGUUGAGAUUGGGUCAGUGUGUAGCUAGUGAUGCAUUUCUAUGGCUACAGAGAGCAGGGUUUGGAUAGCGGUAGUUUAGUGGCAUGUAGCUUUAGAGUUUCUUCCAGCUUACUUUACUAUUCUUUGCAUACUUUUACUGUAGACUUAGUGUGUAGUCCGUUGGGGUCGGUGACGGUACCCACUGAGGACUACUCUGUUUUGCAGUAGUUCUCACAUCUAGUUGUUGCUACCUUUUUGCAAAGCCGUCUGCUGCUGCUGCUGCUGUUGAUUUUGACCGUGGUAAGGGAAUCAUGAGCUAGAUCCCUACCUUCCCUGAUCAUUGUGCUAGAGGAGUAUCCCUUCAGAGGUAGUUUUGGGUUGUUACCUUAUACAUACUGUUAUGUUUGAUUGUACUCUCAGAAGCGAGGUUAAUUGUGUUUUGAAUAUUGUAUGUACAGUGGGUUUAGUAUGUUUUUAUAUAUAUGUGUCAGUUUUAGAAGUUCUAUACUUCUGGUUAUAGCUAUGAUUUGUUACAGGUACAGCUAUCACUUUGUAUACACAAAAAAUUUCUAUGUAUAUGGUGGGUCUGUUAGCGUGCCCGGGAAAACGUACGUGGUAAUCCGGAGCGUGACAAUUCUUUCCUAAAUAGUAUAACAAGUCCGUAAGCAGUGCAAAAUUUUCUCAAUAUUUGGUGCUUAUAUGAAGGUAUUACUGCAAACAAGCUGUCUGUAAAUUGUGUAACAACGAUGAAAACAGUGCAACAUUUGGUGCUGAGAUCGUCGAAAUCUAAAAAGGAUAGGCUUGCCAAAAAUUACGGAGUCCACCUAGAGUUCCCCAUGAGUGGCGUAAAAAGUGCACGCCGGGAAAGGGCAAGCGAACUAGGAGCCUGUACUUCCUCCAACCGCUCUAGGGACGAAAGAGGAACGGUGCCGACCUAAUCGCCGACGUAUGUAGCGCGCUUAUUAUUUUACAUUCUCAGUAAUAAUGUGAUUCUUAUGUUACUUUCUCAAUAUUUGUGUGAUUGUACCACACUAAGUUUAAUAAAAGUACAGUAGCCCAAAGAUUUUAGCACAUAUGAGAAUAAUCACUUUAUUUGCAGACUAAAGAAAAUGAUAUACGGACUCAAACAAGCCUCUUGUCAGUGGUAUAUCAAGUUACAUAAUGUAAUUACUAUAUUCAGUUUCAUAGAAAACAUUGUGGUUAUGAAAAUAUUGUGGACCAGUGCAUAUACUUUAAGAUUAAUGGGAGUAAGUAUAUUUUCUUAGUUUUGUAUGUUGAUAACAUUCUGCUUGUAAGUAGUGACUUAAGUUUGUUUAAAGAGAUCAAAGAAUUUCUUUUUAAGAACUUUGAUGUAACGACCUAGCCUACUAGUAAUAAUAACUUGUUAUGCCCAACCAUUGGCCUAAAAUGCUUAAGUCCAAUUAUUAUUAUUAGUGUCUAAGUCUCUUAUAUACCCAAUCACAUCCCCAUUCCUAUCCGAUGUGGGAUUAUUCGGGUGUGACAGACUCCCCCGUUAAGGCCCAGACGUUCUCGUCAGUCCAAUCACACACACAGCCCAAGAUCACCAGGCGAUGUGAGACUCGUCUCGCUAGCCUUGUCAUCCAGACCCUAGCAUAGUCGGUCAUCAUGUCAUACAAAUUUCGAUAUAGCCUAUCACCUUGUCUUUCUGAUUUUGGCUCAGACGAGACACGCCACACAUUUCCGACUGGUGAUUGGCUCUGAUACCAAAUGUAACAACCCGACCCGUUAGCAAUAAUAACUCGUUGGGCCCAACCACUGGCCCAAAAUGCUUAAGCACAGUUAUUAUUACGAGUGUCUAAGUCUCUUAUAUAUCUAAUCACAUCACUAUUCCUAUCCGAUGUGUGAUUAUUGGGGUGUGACAUUUAAGAUGAAAGAUAUGGAUGAAACUUCUUAUAUCAUCGGUAUAAAGAUUCAUAUAAAUAGAUCUCAAAAAAUUUUGGGUACAUCUCAGAAAGCCUAUAUUGAAAGAGUUUUAUAAAGGUUUAAUAUGACAAACUGUACACCUACAGCUACACCUAUUAUAAAAGGUGACAAGUUUAAUCAGCAAUAGUGCCCGUAGAAUGAUUUAGAAUGGAAGAGUAUACCCUAUAUCUCUGCAGUAGGGAGCUUAAUAUAUGCGCAGGUCUGUACCAGACCUAAUAUAUAGCUUAUGUAGUGGGAAUGCUAGGUAGAUAUUAAAGCAACCCUGAUCUUAAUUAUUAGAAAGCUGCAAAGAAAGUCGUGGAUACUUACAAGAAAUAAAUGACAAUAUGCUCACCUACAGGUAUUCUGACAAUCUUGAGAUUGUUGGAUAUCCGCACUCUAAUUUUGUUGAAUGUGUGGAUUCCAGAAAGUCUACAUCAUAAUAUAUUUUCUUCCUUACUCAAAAUGCUAUAUAUUAAAGGAACGUCAAGCAGGAUAUAGUUGCUCCAUCUGCUAUGGAGGUAGAGUUCAUCGUUUACUAUGAGGCUUUGUCACAAUCUUUAUGACUAAGAAAUCUUAUCUAAGAUUUAAGAGUUAUCGAUUCCAUCACAAGGCCAAUUAAGAUUCAUUNUUUUUUUUUUUUUUUUUUUUUUUUUGUAUAAAGACUUUAAUGACUAUUCUUAUUUGAGUAAGAACACAUUUUAGUUUUUGCACAUAUGCGCAUAAAAUUAUUUUUUGAGCAUUAAAGUAUUAUUAUGCACUAAAAUGGGACUCUGAGUUGAACUUAUAAUAAAUUUAUACAGUUGUAACUUAUAAAGAUAUUUGAUUAAGAAAUACGUGUUUUUAAUAUAUGAAAGAAAGUGUUCAUCUUUUGGGACAAAACUUUAUUACGUACCAACUAAAUUAUACAAUUAAAAAUCUCUCAAUAGACUAAGAAAUACGUGUUUUUAAUAUAUGAAAGAAAGUGUUCAUCUUUUGGGACAUAAUCGCUAUAAUUAAAAUAUUGUGAUUCCUUAGUCUAUUGAGAGAUUUUUAAUUGUAUAAUUUAGUUGGUACGUAAUAAAGUUUUGUAUCAUUUAUAUGAUAAUGAAUAUAUCACUAGGAUAAGUGAGAGAAUAUUGGAUGUGGCCUACGUGAUUUAUUCAAGGUGAUCUAUAAAUACUGCGUUUUGUUCGGAUAUAAGUAAGAACUGCUUAUUCUCAGAAUAGAUACAAGUUCAGGUAUAAGUAGGAACAAGACCAAUUUUACGUUUGGAUAAAAUUGGUUGUUCCUAGAAAUAAAGUAAUAGUGUUUUGAUGAUUAAAUUGGAACAAAAGAAAUAAGAGUUAUAAUUUUAAACUAAAAUUAUUUUAUCUAAUUAAUUAACAUCAAAUAUUACUUAAAAAUAAUUUAAUAAAUUUAUUUUUAGUAAAUUUAAUUAAUAAAUUUAAAAUAAUUUACAUGAAAAUUAGGUUGUUCCUUCAGUGUUCAGAAACAAAGAGGGGAAUAAGGGCUUGUUCCCCUCUUGUUCCCGAACCAAGCACUGCCUAAAGAUACAAUUGAUCUAUUCAAAAUGAUUUAUAAAGAUAUGGUAGAUAUAACGGUUGGCAUGUAUCUGAACACGUAUUUGAUGGAUGUACGUGAUUUAACAUUUUUACAUUAAGUUAUAUAUAAAUAUAUAACAUACGGGAGUUCCGGUUUAACCCAAAUCAUAAUUUUUGUGACGGCUCCAUCUCCAGGGAUAAGAGAACAGACACGAAACGUCCCGCUCUUUUAAUUUUGCAGAUCGUGAACGAGGACGAAUCAUAAGAAAGAAUCGCCGUCUACAAUCCUGAUGUAGAAAUCGAAAUUAUGACAGAAGAUACAAUCUUAAUUUCUUAUAAAGUUUAACCAGUCGUCUUCAAUUCAUUUCAAAUCAUAAAAAAUGCAUAACAUAUAUAGACUUGUUUUGACGGCACAUAAAAAGUGUUUAACACACACUGGUUUUGAUGGUACUUUUAGUUAUUUAUUUUUGCUUGGGAAAACAGAAGGUAAAAAUUAAUGACAGUGUAGAUCAAUGUGCUUAACAUUUACUCCUGCUUUCAGAUCUGCCCGGAUAGUAGGUUUCUAUGCAAUGCAUCUAUUCUGCUCAAAGUAGGGCUUAAUUGAGACUGGAGUCACCUAACCCUAAUAAGAGAAUACUAGCUAGCCAAAUGUUCCAGUAGCCAUUUUGAUAUUAUACGAUCUGUAGGCAAAAAUUUCUGAAAUAAGCACUUUUUCUAUUUAUAAAAUACUUUAACAUGUUAUUUACAUCAUUUUACUCAUUUGAUGAUAUGAACUAUUUUAAUUGAGUGACAGAGAGCAAAAACUUAAUUUAUGAGUAUAAUUUAAAUAAUAAUUAUAGUGGUAAGAAAGAAAUACUAAGAGCGUGUCACACGUCAGCAUAUGUAUGUAUAAAAUAUAUAAUAUAAAAUGCAUAUGGGCAAAGCAUUUUCCGAUUGUUAUUGUUAGAUGGUGUGAAACCUGCACAAAAUAUCUGCACACGUUGCCUUCGAAGACAAGUGAUUCCUGUUAAUACUACUUAAUUUCUAUAUUAUUUUAUGGUGACUGAAAAAGCAAAAUCAUAUAUCAAUCUUUUUAUGCUUUUAAAAAGCAUACUACCUCUCUCUUUCUCUCUCUUUCACUCAUCACGCUUUCAAUUUAAAUAUAUUAAUACCUAGAUUUUUUCUGGUAUAUUAUAAGUUUAGUUCCUAAUCGCGAAUUAAAAAUUGCUUUCAAUUUAUACGAUUUAAUUUCUAAAUUUGUAUAUAUAUUAUACUUUAGUUCCUAACUAUUAAUAAAAAGUAAAACUUAUUUAACUAUAUUUUCAGUGAACAUAAGCGAAUCAUUUUUACUGAAUAAGGAUGAACUUUUCUUUUGUAACUUAUGAGAUGAAAAAGUCUCCGGUUCAAAUCUCACUAAGUCCUAGUCUCAUAAAUGAGUUAUGCAAGUGAGUUAAGCUAGAAUAUUUUUAGAAGCAUGAAGGCUUUAGUACUGUUAGUUUUUAGACUCAGAAAACUCUCUUUUGAUCCACAAAUCAUAUGAAACAAGACUCUAUUUUAGCUAUUAUUAUUGACUUCUAAAUUAAUGGUCAAAAAGCUUAAUUCAGGCGCUCAAAUUUAUAAGCACUAAGAACUCGAUAUUUCUAAAACAUUCCAUCUCAAUACUUCUUAAUAUUGGAACGUAGCUUGCAUUAGCUGCAAAGUGAGUGACUGCUUUGACGGGACUGGGUGGAAGUGGGAUGUUAUCUUGGCGGAUUUCACUCCAGAGACCGCACUUGAUAGACAGUCGGUAUAAAAAUUGAAAGACAGACUAUCUAACCUCAAACUGAACAACAAAAAGGAUGUGGUUAAAUGGAGAUGGAUCCAGUCGGAAAUGUUUUUUGUCAAAUCAUUUUACAACUUCCUACAAGACGGGGGUUGUCAAGGUUAGUGGCUACACACAGUUAUGAAAAAUCUGCAUCCCACUGAAAGUUAAAAUUUUUGCUUGACUAGUACUAAAACGUAAGGUACUUACGAUGAACAAUCUACGAAAAAGGGGUUGGUAUAGAGAGUUAGUGGCUACACACAGCUAUGAAAAAUCCGCAUCCCACUGAAAGUUAAAAUUUUUGCUUGACUAGUACUAAAACGUAAGGUACUUACGAUGAACAAUCUACGAAAAAGGGGUUGGUCUAGAGAGCAAAAUUGUGUACUUUGCUUAGACAUGGAGGAGACGAUUGAUCAUCUUUUUGCCACUUGUGAAGUUACUAGGAACCUAUUGGGGUGUUUGAUGACCAAUAGGAAGGGAACCAACUGCUACACUACAGCCUACACUCUCUGGGUGACUAGUCGACUUAGAGGAAGCACUUUUCGAAAGAAAGAGCUCGCGACUAUUGCCUGCAUCUGGUGAGUUAUCUGGCUCGAACGAAAUAGGCAUAUCUUCCAAAAGUUGAAACACUUACAACAACAAAUGUUACAAGACAUUUGGAAUGCUCGAGAUCUGACAAAUUGGUGCAGAGUAGUACCUACCCCUGAGGGCCUCCAGCGGGGUGUCUUUUUUUGUCGUCUUUUCCGCGCUCCCCUAAGGGAGUUUAUAUUCUUUUCCAUUUAUCCCUUCCUUUUCUCUUUUUUGGGUUUCUUCAAGGCCUAAUUGCCUCACCAUGAAGCUAAGUUCAUUAUCUAAAUGAAUGAAGCGGUAGCAUGGUAUCUAUUUCUCAUAAAAAAAAUUUACUUUUUGUUAAAGACUUUGUUAGAUUUAAAUACUCUAUUAGGAGUUAGUUGUUAAUUAUUUCACUUUUGACAAUCAUUAAUACUGUUAAAUUUAAUAAAAUCUUUAAUUUACUUUAAUAAAAUCUAAACAAGUAUAUAUUUUAGGAGUCCGAUUACAAUAAUAGCACAAAACACUUGAUGCUAUCUAGUUUUUCACCGUUAGAACUAUCUCUUUGAUUACUUUCACCCCUUCGAUCAUGUUAUUCUACCGACCACCUAUUAAAUCAUAUAGAAAACCACUAUCACCUUAACUGCAUAUUUCUUAAUCUAAAGAUAAAAAAUCUAAUAAGCUAGACCAAUGACUUAAUAACAGUAAUAGUAUUCCUACCUAAUUUUAUACUUUGAUAAAAAGAAACUGUAAUAAAUGAGUAGAAUAUUUAGGUACACUUUUGGGCACACAACUAGCUAUCAUUUCUCACUAGAAAAUGUAACCAACCCCACCCUCACUCCACUCCACUCCACAUUCCUCCACCACCACCACCACCACCACCACCACUGCCCCUACCAAGUACCUUUCCCGCAGUAAUCCCCAUGAACGAGUCCUUUCCCUCCAUUUCAUCUUCUUCUUCGUCGUCGUCGUCGUCGUCGUCCGCAUCCGACGUGCUGAUGUCCUUCUUGCUCUCGCUGCCGCCCUCCUCCUUCUCGGCACUCGCGUCCUCCCUGGCUUCCGACCUCCGCCUCCUCCGCUCCCGCCUGGCCCUCCUCCUCCUCUCCCCCGCCCACUUCUCCCGCGCCCUCUCCCGCCUCCGCUCCCUCCCCCUCCCCCUCAAAUCCCUCCUCCUCGCCCGCCUCCUCCUCCGCUCCCUCCGCCUCCUCCUCUCCUCCUCCACCUCCUCCCCCUCCUCCCACCCCCACCGCCUCCGCCUCCUCGACCUCGACGCCGCGCUCCUCCUCAUGGCCAUGUGCGACUCCUACCACCCCCACCGCCCCCACCCUCACCCCGUCGACUGGCGCUCCACCGUCGCCGCCCACGCUCUCUCCUCCGCCCUCAGCCCCGCCGCCCUCGGCGACACCCCCUGGGCCGUCCUUGGCCCCUACGUCGACCUCGCCGCCAAGUGCCCCCGCUUUCUUGAGGUGGUUGCAUGUCAAUAUUAUAUUAAAUAAAAUGAAACAACCGUUGUACUCUACAAACUUAAACUUUAUAUUGAGGCAUUACUUUCUAUGACUUAAAUUUUUAGAGAAUAACGGUUAUUUUAUUUUAUUUAACAAAAACAACUUUUUUUUCUAAGAAAAAAAAAUUUAAGAGGUAAAGUCAUUUUGAGUCGCCUACUCAAUGUUUCGAAAUUCUAAUUUUACUGUCUAACUUUCGAUUUGGUUAAUUCGAGUUAAUUAAUAAUAUAUUGACUUCAAAAUCUGAAUAUGUAGUUUAUAUUUACAGAUUUAAGUUGUAUACUAUAAGCAAUUCUCACAGCUAGCUAUAAUUUUAUUAAGAUAAAUAAUUAGCUUAUCUUUAAAGUCAAAAUGUUUUUAAUCAUGACUCAAAUUAAACAAAUUGAAAGAUUGAAAAAUAAAAUAAAAAUUUUAAAAUGUUGGGUACGUAGCCGGCUCAAAAAGACCCAUAAUUUAGGUAGGUUCUCAACAUUUUUACUAAACUAAAAAGAGUAAAUUAUUUAAUUAGUUCUUGAACUUCUAAUUUUGAUUUUAUUGUAGUCUCCAACUCUUAAUAUUAUUUUAUUUUAAUACCUAUUUUAGAGUAAAAAUUAUUAUCUAUUUACACAGAAUUUAUUUAUAUAUCUAUAAAUUAAUGAAUAUAUCAGCGUUUCAUCUAUGCCAUACUUUUAAUUUAACGCUUUAUUUUUAACGUAGAGAACUCCAUUAUAGUACAUAGAUGCAUAGGCAAAAUUCACCCUCUAAUAAUAAAGCAUAAAUAAGAAGAUUUAGGGACCAUUAUCAUGGAUCGAGAAAAUUUGAGGAUCAAAAUAAAAAAUUGGCCAAUAGUUUAGAGACUCCUGGUGCAAUUUACCCAAAAGCUUAAUAAAGUGCUACAGAAUGGUAAUUUCACAUUUUAUAUUUAAUAUUAUCCAUCGAGUCGAUUUUAAAUUAAAAAAAUAAAAAUAAAAUGAGGCUAUGAUCAUAAUUUGAUUGAAUAAAAAUUUAAUAAGUAUCACUCUCACCAUGAGAUCAUUAUGUUCAUCUUCAACACUAUUUUGAGCACGUUUAUAUAAAUCAACUUAGGAAUGAUUACUAUUUGUACUAAACUUUUGUUCAUGCAUGUGGAGGUGAAUUUAAGAUCUUCCGUUCUGAUAUAAUGUGAAAUAUUUAGUUUUUUUAAAAAAGGAGUUUAAUGUGUUACGCAGAGAGCGAUAUUUUAAUAUAUUAUAUUUUACAGGUUGCCGGAAGCAGCAACGGAGGGGGGAAGAUGGGGGAAGGGGCGAGGGCCGCGGUGGCGGCAGUGGUGGCGCUGCCGUCGGUGGAGUACAGCGGCUGCGAGGAGGGCGACGGAGGCGGCAGCAGAGAGUGCGCGGUGUGCAGGGAGGAGAUGGCGGCGGGGUGGCAAGUGUGCGAGCUGCCGUGCGGCCACCGGUUCCACUGGGGGUGCGCGCUGGCGUGGCUGCGGAAGCGGAACACGUGCCCGUGCUGCCGCUUCGAGCUGCCGACGGAGGACGUGUUUGCGGAGAUCGGGCGGCUGUGGAGGGCGGUGGUCAGGAUCGGCGGUGGCGACGGAACCAGUUGCGGCGGCGCGGGCCGGGCCAGCAGGGGCGGAUGAUGGUGAUCAGGUUACAAAGAACGAGCACACUGGUCAUGAUCGGGAUCAACUGGGACGUAACACACCAGCAGUGUGGUGGUGGUCCCACUAACGGGUCGGGUAGGGACCCGUCAGGUAUGGGUGGAAAGUAACGUGUCUGGGAGGUGCUUUUCUUGUUUUGUUCAUUGGUGCUUGGAUUGGUACAAUGAUGCUGGUGGGGGGAUGCUUUAAUAAUGAGGGUUGUUAAUAUAGAAAAGUGAUUAAUUAAUAAGGGAAAUUAGGACCGACCGUCUCUAGUGCAAAUGAUAAAGGGCUUGAUAGUAGAUAUCUGAGGUUCCAAGUUCGAAUCCUAAUUAUUUAGCAUACUCUUGGCAUUUUAAGGUUUCAAGUUCCAAACUUUAAUUAGUUUAUAUUUCUAGCAAAUUAAACGAAGUCGGUAGUAUAUAUGCAUGCGGCUGUCGAUUCGGUGCAGGUUGUGCGCCACAAAAGCAAGCGCAACAACAAAACCAAACGGGCACUUUGAUAAGAGGAAAACUAUUUUCUACCUCCAAAUUCCGAGCUUCUCGGAUAACAUGUUUCUACUAUCUUUCACUCUCAGACUCGAACUAUUUUUGAUCCCUUAUAUAAGGAUGUAAUGUGAGAUUCGAAACAUUUUUGGGCCCUUAGAAAAGGACAUAAUCUGAACUGUGUCGAGUGGCACCAUCUAUAAGAUAUAUAAUUUGACGGUUACGCGACAUCACAAAAAAGAUUUCUCAAUAAGCCAUGUCUCCUGUUAUGACAAUAAAAAAGAAGUGCUUGCCACAUAGCUAAUAGAAAUUUUGCACCCACUCAUUGCACCGUAAACCAACUAUAAAACAUACAUCAAAGAUAAAUUUUUAUAAUACAAUAAAUUAUUUAAAUAUUUUAUAUUAUAUAUACUAUAUCAUAUUUUAUUUUUCAAUACUAAUUAUCAGAUAUUUUAUCAAUCAUUUAAUAUAUUUUUACGGUAUAUGAAAUAUUAGUAUAUACCAUAUGCAAGCAAAAAAUUUUCCUCUCUUGGAACUAUAGAGUGCACUCUAUUAAGCAUUUUCUAUAUCGAGUGUAUAUAAGUAUAUACACCACAUACUUAAAACCUUCAAUAGAUAUUUUAAAAUAAUUAUUACACUUUGUAGAUUAAAUAUAUUUAUUUACUAAAUUUUGGUAUUCAAAAUCAAUUCUUUAAUAUAAGUUGUGGUGUAUGGUAUAUUAAUAUACACCAUAGGCAUAUAAUAAUUUCUUCAUUCUCCAAUUAAUAUUAACAAGAUAAAGACACCUCACAUAUUUGGUAAUUUAGAAUAAGUUCUCUAAUUUAACUUUUUAAUUAAAAAUUUUAUUUAUAGAAUAGCUACUAAAAUUUAAGUUUGAUCGAAUUUUUAAGUGAAGUUAUUAAAAAAACUUUAAUUCUACAAGUACUAAAAGUUAAAAAAUAUUAAUACAAAAGAUUAGUUUUUAUAUUGUCUAAAAAAGGCUAAAUGAGUUUCUUUUGUAUUUGUCGGCUACAAUUUUUUAAAAAAUUUUAAAAUUUUAAUAAUCAUAUAUGUUGACUGACUGAAAUACUAUUAAACCACUGCGAAGCAUGAACUCUACACUAGUCUAUAUUUAUUUCCGAGCUUUCUUAAAAGAUGACGAAAACUAUCUUCCACCUUCGACUCCAAGCUUGUUUGGGCCCUUCGGGCAGGGCGUAAUGUGGGCCGUGCCAUAUACACGGCACUUUUUGGGGCCCUUAGGUAAGAGUGUAUAAUGUGGAUCAAACAGCCCACGGACUACUUGGCCUGUUUUACAUUCCUGGAAGGAGCUUAUUUGAGUAGAAUUUUUCGAACAAGUUCUUAUUGUAUUUUAAUUAUCCUGUGGCAGUAGAAGCUUGAAAUAAAAAUAAGAAAAUAAAAAAGGGCUCAAGAGUUUAUUUCAGCAUAUAACAGUGAUAACAAGAAGCUUUAGACUUUUGUUUGCUAAAUGCUUAGUCAUUGCUUCUAGAAAAUUUGUUCCAAAAUCCAAACCUAGUGGGGACAAAGCUGGAUUACAUGGCGUCUCUUCGGUAGUUAGAUGCUUUAAGUUGCUACUGUGUUCAUCAAUUGGGACAGAUUAUGAUGAGUGAGCCAAACCUAACAUUUCAAUCAACAGCACAUUAUGGGCCCACUUUAUCUUUAAGAAUUGGGUUGAGUAGAAUAAAAUGAGGGAGACACAUUGAGAUAGGUACCAUGAGAUACAGUAGAAUGUUUCGAAUCUAUCCUUGUUCUGCAAUGCAGUUACUUUCAGAUCGUUGGCGCUAACCAUUAAUCCCAAAAACUCAAGCAGUUAGAAACAUACAACCAAUUCACUUAAAGCGUACAGAUGCAGCACCCACAGAAUUCGACUGUGACUGAGCCGAAACAGCCUCACGCCACUUCGAACAUGGUUUGGUCCAACCUAACCUCCCGUCAUUUCGAACGUGACUCGACCCAACUUGCUCUCUUGCCACAAGACAAUAUGCUAGCCCCUUUAAGCCAAGGGUUACAUGCUAUGCUAAUGAUGGUUGUUGCCAUAAUUUUAUAAUAUUGAAGGACGAAAAAUUAAAAACGCUUUUAAAUUUUUGAGCCUCCCAGAGCAUAAAAGCAGUGCUCGUAACAAUCAUAUUAUCAAACUAGACCUUAAAUCUCUUUGCCAUUUUUUUAUCCUAGUCAUUAUAUAUCAAGCCUUUUCAACCGAAAACAAGUAUAUUUACCAAGGAAUGGCUAUUGUAACUGCUUUACUGUCGCAUAAUACUGUACAAAAAUUUGCAUCAUGUUUUUACACAGCUAGGAGGACAAAAUACAAGCGCGCGCGCGCACACUCUCUCUAGAGGAGAGUUCUCACUCUAUAAGUGUAACUUGGCUAUGACAUGAUUUCAAGAGCCUCCCUCGUCUGCCCGAGGAUGUUAAACACAGUAGCUGCAAUGUGAGAAGGCGUCAAGCCGGCUUCAGCUAGUUGAUCAGAAGGUGAUCCGUGCUCGAUGUAUCGAUCGGGAAGUACCAUUGGCCUCCACUGCAUUGAAAAAUAUAAACAUAUAUAAGUUACUUUUGUACGCCAUCAAAAUGAGCGAAUUCUGCAUGAGGUACCCAACCUUCAAUUGUUACAAUUUAUUCCCUAUUUGCUGUAUAAGAAGAUAAAACAUUCGCUCAUUUGGCACUUAAUUGAUGAUUUCCUCAAUAUUUCUUUUCAGUUUGACGAAAAAAAAUCUAACCAUAUGGAUAAGAUUGCAACAGCGUUCAAGUGUUACAGUUCUAAUUCAAACAAUUCGAAGGUUAGGGAUCCAUUUCUAGGUUGUAAAUAUGCUCGAAUUUAGGAGCCAUGAUGCAACUUACUCCUAACUAUCUUGAGAAGUAGGAGCUUGAUCUUACCUUAACUUUACCAUCAAGAAGACCAUUAAGGGCCAAGAACUGAGCAACAUGGGAACCGAAUCCGCCGAUCGACCCUUCUUCUACGGUGACAAGGACCUCAUGUGACUUAGCUAGGCUUCUGAUGAGAGCCUGAUCCAACGGUUUGCAGAAUCUUGCAUCAGCCACUGUUAUCUUAAGGUCGUGCUUCUCUAACAAAGAUGCUGCAGCCAAGCAGCUUUGGACUGCAGUUCCAUACCCCAAAAGAGCCACUCUCUCGCCCUCAACAAGUAUCCUCCCUUUGCCCACCUGCAAAUGCAUGUUAGUUGUGAUUUGCCGCGCAUUUGCUCGGACACAAGCUAAUUCGAGCUAUUUAAAGAAGCAGUAACUGAUCUUUCAUGUAAAACUCCUCAACAGAUUUUCGCUAGGUAAGAGUCAAAGCUUCCAAUUGGAGCUUCUGCUUUUGAAACCCAAAUGUUCAGUUCAUGAUCCCAUCACAACAAAAACUCCAUACUACUUGUUAGUUCAAUGCUUGUUUUUUAGAAACUUUUGUUUUCUGAAGUAUAGAAGUUAUUGCAGAAGCCAAGUCAAAGCUAAGCAUGCAACAAGUAGAAUGUGUGAACUUAAAGGAAAUACCUUCAAUGGGACGCCUUUGUUUCCUGGGGGUAGGAGGACACCGAUACCAUUCCCUCGCGGAUAACGGACGCAGGAUGGCCGAUCGUUGAUGGCUGCCGCAGUAGCUACCAUAUGAAAGAGUUCAGCCUCAUCUGAAGGAGCCAUGACAACCAUAUUCGGGAGACAUGCCAUGUAUGUCACAUCAAAUGAUCCACAGUGAGUCGGCCCAUCAGCACCGACAAGGCCAGCCCGGUCCAUUGCAAAUCUUACAGGGAGUUUUUGGAGGUCCACAUCAUGGACAACCUACAUUAGUAUAACCAAACCUAUAUAAUCAUCCCAUCAGACGAAUUUUGACCAAACUUCUAUACUGAACUUUGAGGAUUUCAUGCAUGUUUUCCUAAGAAAAUUAGGAAUUGACAUACAUAACAAUGUAAAAAAUCUAAAUUUCGACAUGUAACUCUCAAAAUGCAUUUCCUUUUUCUUUUUACAGUAAUACCCUCAUCUUAUGUUGGGGACUUGUCCAAUCCACGGGUCGAUGUUACUUUUGUACUACAAAUUUUUUUUUUUUCCUCCCCCCAAGGAGACAUGUUGUAAGUAUAAGAAAAUUCAGGAUUUUACAGGAUGUAUAUAUGUUAUAAAAAAUUUUGCAGGGGCAUAUCUAAGAGUUUAUGAUGUUUCUUGUUGUAAUCCUUUCUUUUUCAAUGAAUAUGCACCUUUAUGUUUUAAUUUCUAAAAAAGAAAGAGAGAAUAAUUGGAGAAAAUAACAUGCCUGAUCAUAAGCCCUUUGCAAGAAGGACGAGUAAAUUGCGCAGAAUGGCUUAAGACCUUCGCAAGCUAAACCGGCUGCAAAGGUGACAGCAUGCUGCUCAGCAAUUCCGACGUCGAAGCACCGAUUUGGGAAGCGGCGUAGGAAGUAGUUGAGGCCCGUUCCUCCUCCCAUUGCCGCAUGAAUCGCAACUAUAUCUUUGUCCACCUCUGCCUCAGCUACUAAAGCUUCGGCAAAGUAGUUGGUGUAUGAUUGGGUCUUAGCGCUAGAUUUGAACUGCUUUCCAGUCGCUGGAUCAAACUUGGCCACACCUGUAGAACCAUGAAUUACAUUUGAUUAUGAGAUAGUAACAAAAUUGGCCACAUACAUACAUCUAAAGCUAUGUAAUAUAUAUACCAUUUUUAAAAUCUGAUCUCAUACCUGUCAUAAGUGCAGUUUCUUUCAAAAAUGUUCUUGUUUGAACGAAAUCGGUUCUUUAUUAGAAAAAGAAAACCUUUUAAAAGUAGUUUUUUAUGCUUUCAAAGUGCAUGCAUAAUAUUUUUGAUCAUUUUGCAUACUCUUGCGAAUUUCUUUUAGAAGAAAUAUAGAUGCUUUUCCAUGUACUUGAGUUCUUACCAUGAUAUUUGUCGGCGGCCCUCUCAGCAUAGGGAUAACCUCGGCCUUUCUCAGUUACAACAUGGAUAAGAACUGGGCCAGUCGUUUUCGUGCUUUUGACCUCCUUUAGAAUGGUGAUGAGGUCAUCCAUGUUGUGGCCAUCUACUGGGCCAAUAUAAUAGAGGCCGAGCUCUUCAAACAAGGUUGAACCAGACCCACUGAUCAUUCCUCGAGCAUACUCAUCAACUUUCGCAGCCAAUUCAUGCAUUGAUCCACCGAUCUGCUUUGUAACUCCCUGAAGCACUUCAAAAAAUGUGAUUCAGAUUUUGACCAAGAAACAGAAGAUGGAACAUGUAGUGCUUAUGACAGUAAUAUGAGGUGAUUUACCAAGUGUUAGGAGGAAAGAUUGUGUUAUGGACCAAAUAUAAGUUAGCAUUCAAUAGGUUUUUUUUUUUCAUGCUUUUCUGGUGUAUGUUUUGAUAAAUAGCAACAAUUUAAUACUCAUGUUUCAGCAUAAAAAAUGGGGCAUUGUCAAGUUUUACGAAAACAUUUCAUUGGUUCAAAAUCAUUGAAUAAAGCUCCAAUCAAAGGAGCAGUCGAAAUAUUCUAUCCAAGAAGAAUCCAAAAUCUUACAGCAACAAUUAUAGGAAAUAUAUCACAAGAAGUGAAUUAUUUAUAUAAGAAAAUACAGGAAGAAGAUUUCAUAGAGGUCGAUGCUUGUAACAUUACCUUGGCCACCUCCCUGAGUUCUCGUAGGGGCCUGCUGGACUGCAAUCUACUGAGCGCACUGCUCAAAGCUCCAACUGGCGGAAUUGGUCCAUCAAGGGUUGCAGUAGGCAGAGAAACCUGUUUGUUAUCAUUCAGAAUGACGAUCAUAUCGGAGUCGAGAUAGCCAGCAUUGUUCAUGGCUUCAUAAGCUUGCCCGGCAGUCAUGGCUCCGUCUCCUAUUACUGCAAUCACGUUGUUCUUUCUUCCCUUGAGGUCCCUCCCCACAGCCAUUCCUGCUCAAAUUGAGGCAAGUAAGCAAAAAGCAUAAUACCUUUAGUUUUAAUUUAUACGGAACAGUACGUAUUAGAUAACAUGAAAUGUUAGCAUGAUUUAUUCGGCAUUUUCUGAUCUUUGUUUUUAGUGCCCUUCUCUUUUUUCCGAAUGUAAGACAUAAGGUGAGUGCUGAUUAGUCUGGCUUAUGGAAUAACUUCUCUGCUACAAGAAAUAGCAAUCAGCUGGUUACCAAACAAAAGGUCUUAAGCUUUCUCUACGGUGAAAAGCUAAAGUAUACUUGGGCCCAAAAGUAGUGGAACUUGAAGCUUCUUGUUAGGAUAUUUUGACGAAAAAGCUGUUUCUGCUUUCUCAGGAAGCUCUAUUCGAAUUGCACUUCUAAAGAAGCCCCAGGGCGGGCAAGACAGGCCCUUAGGCUGUCAAAAUAUAAAUAGAGAAGAGCAAAGGGAAAGUGGUGUUACCAAGAGCUGCCGAAAUACUGGUUGAACUGUGACCAGUACCAAAGGAAUCAUAUUCACUCUCCGAACGUUUGGUAAAUCCCGACAACCCGUUAGUCUGUCUAAUUGUUGGCAUCCUGUCCCGUCUUCCUGUCAAGAUUUUGUGCGGGUACGACUGCACAGAAAACAAAUUUAAGAAUUCGACAUCACAUUUUCUCCAGAAUUGCCAUCUAUUAGUGUUAGCUAACGUAUCGUAAAUGCAGACUUCUGGUAAAACGAAAGAAAGGGAAACAGCAAAACCUGGUGUCCGACAUCCCAUAGAAUCUUGUCCUGGGGAGCAUUGAAGACAUAAUGGAGCGCCACUGUCAACUCAACCACACCAAGACUCGAGCCGAGGUGACCCCCGGUCUUUGAUACAUUGAAGAUAACAUCAGAACGGAGCUCAUCGGCUAGCUGUUUAAGCUCCUGCAAUGGAUUAACACGAACGAGCACACAACAACUUCAGCACCACAAAGCUCAAACUAGUUCGGUAUUAUCGCUCUUUGACGCAUUUCAUCGGACAUGAGGAGAGUGCACCUUGAUGGAGAGGUUCUUCAUAUGAAUUGGGUAAUUGACUGUGUCCAGCAGAGGAGUUGGUGGCCUCUGUGCAUGGUACUCUCCUGCCUCUGAUAGUGAUGCACAAACACAUGGCUUUCUCCUAGGCUACAAAACCAGAACAAUUUUUUUUUUUUAUUUUUUUAUUUCAAUUACCACUUCUAAAGAUUUAGGUUCCUUGAUGGGUAUUGAACAUGAAUAACAAACAACAGUUCCAUCAACAAGUUAAAUUUUACUAUAUUCAACAGCUCAAUCAGGCAUUAACAGGGGUUAGCACACAAUAAUGCUAGAAUUUUAUCCUAGAAUUCCAACUUAAUCAAGAAUGAUAAAGCAUAAAUAUGCAUUUAUUACUCAAAAGAUCGAUCUGAUAGAAAACAGACACGAGGAUAUGACAGGUGAGACAGAAAAUAGAAACCCGCCAAGUUCAGAAUUGGUUCUAAUACCAUAUUACUCAAAAGAUCAAUCUGCUAGGAAACGAGUUCAGGAACAUGAGCAAGAGCAUCAAGAUAGAUAGAGAGAUGAAGCAAAAAAAAAAAAAAAAAAAAAAAAAAAACAACCUUGGGAAGCCUGUGUUGAUGCUUGUGGGAUUGGAAAUCAACUCCACCAAGCAAAUGGGGAGAGAGGGAGGUGGCCUUCUGGGGAUCUGCAGCAUUUACACCAAGAACAUAGCCAGGAAGAGAGAAUGUGGAGAGAGCCAUGGGAAGGAUGGUGGUGAGAGAGAGUCUUUAGCAAGAGGAAAUGGGGAAGUUGAGAAGAGGAGGAGAGAGGUUAGUGGUCUUAUAGUGGGGUGGUAUUUAAUGUGGGAUUACAGUGAUAUCUUAGUGAGCCCAUGAAUGGGGGGAGGGAAUGGCACUGAGGAGGAGUGGGCUUAUGUGAGUGGCUGAUAUUCAUUUGCUACAACACCCCCUCCUAAGUCCUACCCCACUCCCUUUGCAUUCUCCUUAACUCUCUCUCUCUCUCUCUCUCUCUCUGUUUGUUUGGCUUCUCCCCUGGACACUUUUGAGCAGAUAUGAGCACUCUCUCUCUCUCCCCUCCCCAUUGGACCACCUCAUCAAAGUAUCAAGAGAGUGAGGAUAAAGUGGUGGUGAUAAAUCUGAAAUUCUAAGAGAAGCAGAGAAAACUGGGGGAAGAGAUUAGGAGAUGACAGGAACUGCACUCUCUUACCAAACAUUCUGAGCAACCAAACAGCCUCCCAAAAAAAAAAAAAAAAAUUGUGAAACUUUUUUUCAAAAUUUUUCAUCCGUUUGAUUUUUAAAAAGAAAGUCUUUUUGAAAAAAAUUUCUCCAAAUUUUAUAGAAUCGUCUUUUAGAUUUCUUUUUUGAAACAAAAACAUUAGGUUUCCUUAAAUUCUAGAAAAAAAAAUUUAAAAAUUAUACUUUUAGAAUCAGACGGGCGGAAAAUUGGAAAAAAAAAAAUCCAUAGAAAACUUUUUUCCCCAGCUGCAGUUUUCUGUUUCCUCCAAAAAUUGUGGAAAAAUAUUUCCGAGAAAAAGUUUUCUUAUCAUAAAAUCAUUUUUUGUUUUCCAUUCGUUUGGUUCCAAAAAAAAUAAGUUUUUAUAGAAAUUUUGUUUAUAUAUUUUAUAAAAAAGAUAGUAUUUUUGUUUACUUAAAAAAAAUCUGAAAAAUAAAAGUGUUAGUUUUUCGUGAAAUAUGAAAAAUAGAUUUCCUAAAAUGCUUGUUUUCCUUAAAACUAAAUGAAUGAAAAAUUACAAAAAUAAAAUUUUUAUGAAAAAUUAUUUUCUGGAAAAAAAAAUUCUUAUACUUUUUUGAAAAACCAAACAGUCUCUAAAUGAAAAUUCACAUCUUAUUACAGGAACCGCACUAUUGGUAAUCGACGAUCCUUAGAAUCUUCAAUUAUUUGCUUGUCUCGCAUUAAUCAAUCUAAACCAAUGCCAAAAAAACAAAGAAGAGGAAAACAACAGCAAAUCGAUGCCUAAGAUUUCCUAAUUAGAUUUUGAUAAUUCGCAAAAUAAAAAAAAAGUCAUUAUUGUUCUACUAUUUUCAAUCAUGCUUGAUUAUGGAUCAUUGAUUAAAAGCACUGUUUCUAUAUUUUCAUACUAUUAUAUAAUUUCUAAUACCAACCAGAAAUACAUAAUCUUUGGUUAAUUCCUCAGAUUACUAUGCUAAUCUCGAGAUCUAUAAUAAAUCUCAACCUUGCUAAAUUGCUCUCCAUUUGCUAGCAUUGAUAGUGAAAUGUAAAGCAAAAUCCACGACAAACCCUAAUUCUUUUCGUUACAUGUUUGUUCAUAUGAAUAUCUUAUUUUGCACAUCAGAAAAAUUUUGCUUACUCCAGGGUUUGGGUGCAAUCUAGCUCGCUGUUCGCGAGCCAGCUCGCGUUCGGUUCGAAAUGAGCUCGAGAUCGACUCGCUCGUUUAAUAAACGAGUCGAAUACGAGCUGAAUUUUUCAGUUCGUUUAAUAAACGAGCCGAACACGAGCUGAGGUUAGCUCGCUCGUAUUCGGCUCGAUAACAGCUCAAAUACAUAUAUUUUAUAUUUAUAUAAAUAAAUAAAUAGUUAUAUAUAUAAUAUAAUUUUAUAUUAUUUAAUUUUUUGUCCAACCUAAAUAUAAAGCCCAAUUCAAUUAUAAAAGUGUUCACGUGUAUGUAAAGUUUCAACCGCUAGAUCAAAGCUUGAUGGAUACAAUCUAAUAAAUUUAUUUUCUAUAUAUAUAUAUAGAGAGAGAGAGAGAGUAGGUUUUGCGUGCUAUUAGGAGCAUGGAGGCUUCCGUAUUCCUAAGCCGUUUUCGAUUAUGAAGCUUCCGAAUCGACGAUCGGCUCUGUUGGACUUGAUCUAGCAUAUUUGAAAUAUAUAGAAAAUAAAUUUUGCGAUUUUUCGAUAUCAUUUACCUAACGAUCGAAAGGGUUCAAAAUCAACAAUUUUUAAUGGUUGAUGUAUAUCAUUUGCAAGUUUAAUGAUAUAGAAGUAUCCAAAUCAGAUGAAGUUUUGAUAGAAAAUUCUUUAUACUAUUUACUGCAAGAUCAACAUCUCUGACCGAAAAUUUUUAUGUUAUUUCACCACGUUUUAUGAGAUUUUUAUUUUCAGCCGUUGAUUUCGAACCCUUUCGAUCGCUAGGUAAAUGAUAUCGAAAAAUCACAAAAUUUAUUUUCUAGAUACUUCAAAUAUGCUAGAUCAAGUCUAACGAAACCGAUUAUCUAUUCGGAAGCACCAUCAUCGAAAACGACUUAGGAGCACGGAGGCCUCCGUGCUCCUAAUAGCACACAAGACCUACUCUAUAUAUAUAUAUAUAUAUAUAUAUAUAUAUAUAUAUAUAUAUAGAGCCCGGCUAAUAUACUAUUAUGAGUACGAUCGCCCUCGUACUCAUAAGUUGUUUUCGAUGAUAGAACUUUCAAAUCGACGAUCCACACCGUUAAAUGUUAUCUUGAACAUUUAAAACUUCUAGAAAUCAAAUUUCAUAAUUUUUUGACAUCAUUUACCUUACGAUCAAAAGCUCACAAAAUUGACCAUUUUUAAUGGCCGGUAUGGGAUACUUGCUAGUUUAACAAUGUAAAAGAAUUGGACUAGGUUGAAUUUUUGAUAGAAAAUUCUAUUCACUACCUAGAUAAAGAUCAAUAAUUCCGAUCUUAAAUUGAAGGAUCCGAUUAUCGAUUUUUAAGACAUCGUUCGAUUUUGACCGUUCGUUUUAUGCCCGCUUGAUGGACUUUAUUAUGAUUUCGAAAAAUUACGAAAUUUAUUUUCUAGAAGUUUCAAAUACUCUAGAUCAUAUUUAACGGAGUGGAUCGUCGAUUCGGAAGCUUCAUCAUCAAAAACAACUUAUGAGUACGAAGGGUCCAAUACUCAUAAGAGUAUAGUAGCCCUACUAUAUAUAUAUAUAUAUAAUAAUUAUUUAUUUAUAUAUUUAAAUAUAUAUAAAUAUAAAUUAAAUAAAUUAUAUAAAUAUAAAAUAUAUAUAUUCGAGCUAUUAUCGAGCCGGACACGAGCAAGUUGACCCCAUUUCGUGUUUGGCCCGUUUAGUAAACGAGUUAAAAAAUUCAGCUCAUCUUCAGCUCGUUUACUAAACGAGUGAUUCGAUCUCGAGCUCAUUUCGAGCUGAACACGAGCCGGUUCGCGAACAGUGAGCUGCAUUGUCACCCCUAUAUACAUAACUAAAAAAGCAUUCAAAAUAUCUAUUAUUAAAAACCAAAUGCAUAUUCUUAAUUAAGUAUUACAAUAUAAAUUAAUAAAUUCGGUCAAUUUAUAUAAAAUCAGAUCGACUAAUUAGUUCACUGAUUGAAUUAUUAAUCUAAAUAAAUUAAAAUAAAUUUUAAAUCAUUAUAAAUUGAACCGAAUCGAUUGGUUUAGACACUAAAUUACGGUCCAAUCAAUACCGACGAAUACACCUCCACUUUCGGUGAAACAAACACUUGAUAUGAGCGCACAGUCCAUUAUUUGCGGCGGUGAGCACCGACCGAGAAGGGUCGGGUGAUUGAGCGACACGUGUGGCUUCAGAAUUGCCACGUGUUUGCUCAGCACCGAGGGGGCGACCCGCUACGACGUGUACACGUGGCCCGGAGCAACUCACGAAAAUUGAAACGCACCUCUCCGUUUCCCACACUCGACAGCGACGUCACCUCAGAGUCUCUCUAAUUCACCGAAAAUUUUAGAAUGUAACGGAUAUAAUGAUAACGUAGCGUAACAAAUAAAUUAAAUAUAUUUUUUUAGAAAUAUAUGUUUCAUAAUAAUUGUAAAAAAAUAUUUUUAUUAUACUUUUAUUUAAAAAGAAUAAAUAUAAUUGGCUUGUUAGUGAUGACGUGGUGCAAGCGUGACAGUAUAGAAUUCCUCCUAAUUCACUGUAAACGUUUUAAUUGAAAAAAUUGUAAAUAUUUCUUGUACGAUUUAGAACUUUUUUAUUAAAAAAAUUUUAAAUAUAUUUCGUACUUUUUCAUUCUAUAAUUUAAAAUAUUUCAAUUUAGUAUUAUAUGAUUUUAUUUUUCUAUUUUCGUCAGUUCUUUCGUUAACAUUUCGUUAAAUUAUAUAUAAAAAAAACUUUAGAUACCUCACAUAGAUUUAUCGAAUAUUUAUUUUAGUAUCUUUUAAUUUUAACUUUGUCACUUAUUUAAUAAAAAAAGAAUUAAUUGAAGAAAUAAUAGAAAGAGAAAAAUAAAAUCACGGUGUAUUAAAUUGAUACACUUUAAAUUAUAGAGUACUAAAAUAAAAAAAAAUACAAAAUCACAGUAGUGUUAUUUGAAGUUUUUUCCUUUUUUAUUUUAGUAUCUUAUUAUUUAAAUUGUAUCACUUUAAUAUUUUAUGCUUUUAUUUUUUCCUUUUUUAUUAUUUUUUGUUAAUUUUUUCGCUAAAUAGGUGAGAAAGUUAAAAUCACAUAAUACUAAAAUAAAAAUUUCGUAAAUUAUAAAAUAUUGAAGUGAAUAUUCGAUAAAUCAUAGGGAAGUAUCUGAAGCUUUUUUCAUAUAUUUUAACAGAGAGUUAACGGAGAUACUGACGGAAAGAGAAAAAUAAAAUCACAGAAUACUAAAGCGAUAUAUUUUAAAUUAUAAGAUAUUAAAGUGAGAAAAAGUUAAACUACAAGAGGAUAUUUGAAAAUUUUCCUAUUAAUUUUAUAAUAAAGCAUCAUUUAGGAGCUCUCUACUUAAGUUUUUUUUUUCUUUUUUUUUUCUUUUUUUUUUUUUUUUUUUUUUUUGGCUCAGUUACAUACUUACAUGAGAAACUGUUGCAUGAAAUUGAAAGGCACUUCUCGGAUUUCAAAUAGUUGUAUACGCAUCUGUUUCCUUCCUCCUAAUUACUUUUUUAAAUUCAAAAAUAUUUUUUUAUACACUUCUAAGGUUUAUAGUUUAAAUAUACUUCAAAUUUCAAAUCUAUUCCUAUGAAAUUUAUAUUUUUUUCAAUAAUUCUCUGGGGCAGGAAUAUAUUGAGAAAAAAGUGGCACUGUUCCGAAAAUAAAUCAGAUAAUAUUCCGAAGCAAAUUUGAAAGCAAAGAUAAAUCAUACAUAUAUAUGAAAAUUUGAUGUACAAAUAAGAUAUUAUCUAUUAAAUUAAAAAUAAUAUUACAUGAAGUAAUUAAAAUUUUAAAUGAAAAUUAUAUUAUUAUUAUUAUGAUUAUUAUUUUGAAGCUAAUGACUUUAGAAUUAUAGUUAUUUUAUUUUUAAUUUAUUUUUUCAAAAAAAUUUUAUAUUAACAUAUAAGAAAGUAAAAAGAAAUGUUAAUGCUUUAUUAAAUUUUUCUUCUUUUGUAAUUAAUUUUGCCAUCACAAAAACCAAUUAAGGCAUUUUAAAAAAGCAAAAUUAAUUUAAUUUAUAGCGAAGCAAAAACAAAAGUGAGUAUUUGUGGCCCAAAAUAAUUUUAACUCCCUCCACUUUCCGCAAACCACCAUGCCCUUCGUGCAUCAUCCAGUACACCCUAAAAUAAAAUUAUUUAAAAACUAUAAAUUCAGAAUAUUUGUUUAUGUAACUAUUUUAUUAUACUGGAAAAAUUAAAUCAUAAUGAUGAUUGGAUGUGUAUAUUUUGCAAAAUUUACAAUGUUUCGUACAUAGAAUAAUUUAAGACAAAAAUGUACAUAACUUAUCUGCACUAUAAAUUAUUUUGAAUUGGCUGUCCAAUCUUUCAAAUUUUAAUUUUGCCAUCCAAUCUUUUAAUGUGUUUGAUUUGACUUAGUUAACGAUACUUUUACUUCAAAAUUUGAUUGGAUCGUUUUUUUUAGAGUUUAGCUUGUGUACUUCAUAUAAUUAUCACAACUAUAAAUUUAUUAAAUUAGCUUAAAUUCUGAAAUCAAAAUAUUGUUAAUUGACUCAAAUAAAAAAAUGAACGAUCGAAUAACAAAAUUAAAAUUUUGAAAGGUUGGAUAGUUUAUUCAAAAUGGAAACUAGUUUGGAUAAGUUAUAUACGUUUUUAUUUUUUCUUAAUUUAGAUCAUAUUUAUUAAACUAGAAAAGUGAAAUAUAUAUAUAUAUAUAUAUAUAUAUAUAUAUAUAUAUAUAUAUAUAUAUAUAUAUAUAGAGAGAGAGAGAGAGAGAGAGAGAGAGAGAGAGAGAGAGAGAGAGAGAGAACUAGUGCUAUUAAUAGCACUAAGUCAUUGGUGCUAUCAAGUUUUUUACCGUUGGAUUAAGAGAUGUGCGGUUAGGAUGAUGUGGGCCUCCUAGGGUUGAGUGGGUGGUUGGUUGAAUAGUAUGAUUUAACGGAUGAAAAUGAUCAAAAGGGUAGAUCUAAUGGUGGAAAACUUGGUAGCACCAAGUGCUUUGUGCUAUCAAUAGCAUAGUAACCGGACUCAUAUAUAUAUGGAAAAACUUCAAAAACCCUCCAUGUGGUUUCGUAGUUUCUCACUUUACCCUCCUGUGGUUUAAAAUGUAUCAAUUUGCCCCCCUGUGGUUUCUUUUUUCUCUUUUUCUUAUCAAUUUUAUUAUUUUUUUUCUUAAAUCAGUGAUAAAGUUAAUUUAAAGGGUACUAAAGUAAAUAUUUGAUAAAUCUAGAUGGGUAUCUGAAGUUUUUUGUAUAUAAUUUAAUGAAAUAUUAACGAAAAAGCUACCGAAAAGAUAAAAACGAAACCACAGGGGGGCAAUUUGAUACAUUUUAAACCACAAGGGGGCAAAGUGAGAAACUACGAAACCACAAAGGAGGUUUUUGAAGUUUUCCCUAUAUAUAUAGAGAGAGAGAGAGAGAGUCGUUACUAUCAUUUUCGUGCUUAUAAGUCGUUUGCGAUAAUAAAACUUCCUACUUGACGAUCCAUACAGUUAAACAUGACUUAGAGCAUUUGAAACUUCUAGAAAUUAAAAUUUAAAAUUUUUCACCAUCAUCUACCUUAUGACCAAAAGAUUUCAAAAUUGAUAUUUUUUAACGGCCGGUGCGAAAUGCUUGUUAGUUUAACGAUAAAAGUAUCGGAAUUGAUUAAAUUUUUUAUAGAAAAUUCUAUUCACAAUAUGAAUAAAGAUCAAAAAGUCCGAUCUUACCUGUUUUUAAAAAGUCGUUUAAUUUUGAUCGUCCAUUUUAUACCACCUGUCUGAUGGACUUUAGUAUUGCUUCGAAAAAAAGAAAAACGACUUUUUACUUACGAUCUCCAGUACCAAUCAUGCAUCAAAUUUUUUGUCCCUUGCGUUAGGAACAGUCGGUAACAGAUUUGUUGAGUCUAGUGUUCUUAAGCUCAUUCUAGUGAAAAUGGAAAAAGGGCUGUGGUCCUUGUAGGUGGGAGGAAGAUGAAUAGGAUUGCUUCUUGACAGUUCUGUCACGAUGUUGUCGUUGUCAAAUGAUAGAUGCCUCAGCAAAAAAUCGUGAAGUCAGCCGCCUCCACCCACCAUGUGAUCUUAAAUUUUGGGGUUCGUACGUCGUCUUCGUGUCACUCUAUAAGGAUACAACGAGAGGAUCGAGUGAAAGGGACUGCCCAAUUUUCUAAUUAAAAAAAAUACUUCACAUUUCAUUUAGGCCAUAUUUAGUUGGAGGGUAAAGAAAUUUAUUCCAUCCUUAUCCUUCAAAUAAAAAAAAAAAAUUGAUGAGAAUACUAAUUUCCAUCUUAAUGCAUUAAAUAGAGCUGGUAAACGAAUGGAUUGAGUAACCCGCAGGCAGGUUAUUGUAUCCGCGGAUUACUUAGGUAUGGAUAAAAUUUAUCCGUAAAUUUUUGUGUAGCCAACAUCAUUGUCCAAACCCCCUGCGGGUGGGCGAGUGGGUCCGUAAUUUUAUUUUUUUUUGCACAUAUGCUUUUUAAAUGCAAAACAUAUAUAUAUAUAUAUAUAUAUAUAUAUAUAUAUAUAUAUAUAUAUAUAAUAAUUAGGCUACUAUACUAUCAAUAGUACGAAGCCCUUGGUACUAUUGAGUUUUUGCCGUUGAUAAAAGGAUGUGCGGUUAGAAUGAUAGUGGUCCCCUAGAGUUGAGUGGGUGGUUGGUUUAAUAAUAUAAUCUAAUAGGUGGAAAUGAUCAAAAGGUAGAUCUAACGGUAAAAAACUCAAUAGUAUCAAAGGCUUGGUACUAUCAAUAGUAUAGAAGCCGGACUCAUAUAAUAUAUAUAUAUAUAUAUAUAUAUAUAUAUAUAUAUAUAUAUAUAUAUAUAUAUAUAUAUAUAUAUGUUUUUAAAAACGUAAAAUAACUUAUUAUUUAAAAUAUCAUAACAUAUAAUAAAAAUAUUUAAAGUCGUAAAGCAAAAAUAUUUCAUAAUAUAAAAGACGCGUAAUAAGAAAUUAGGAUUAAAAUUUUUAGGAUGAGUAAUAAAAAAUAUAUAUUAAUUAAGAAAAUAUAUUUUGUAAAUAAAAUAUAUAUGUGCGGGUAUCCGUGGGUCCCUGCGGAUUAUCCAAAAUACCCACUGCUUAAUGGGUACCCAUCCGUUUUACUUGUAAUUUUUUGGUUGGAAAAAUUGGUACCUAUACCGUAAAUUUUUGGAUAAUCGCCGGGUACCCACGUUUUGGGUCAAGAUUUCCAGGUCUAGCAUUAAGGGCCCGUUUGGAUUGUAGAUAAGGGAUGGAAUAACCCUUGUCCCUUCUUUAUACUCAAAUGCUAAUUUUUUAUUCGAGAAUAGUAGUUCCGGGUAUCUGAAAUAAGCUGGUAUAACUAUCCACCAACACAUCUAUUUCUAUAUAUAACUACCCCUAUUUUUCUUAUUCGAUCUUAUCUACCUAAACGCUAUUUUUUUAUCCCGAAAACAACUCAAUUUUCAUCCAAACGCUAUUUUUCUUAUCCCUAUACUUGUACCUAUCUGUAAAGGGAUGGGAACUAGUGUCCCCACCCUAAGGUGAAACAAGCUGAGACAACCCAGCUUGUUCCACUUGUGAAGUAAGGGUGGCAAUCCAGCUCGCUGUUCGCGAGCCAGCUCAUGUUCGGCUCGAAAUGAUUCAAGAUCGAAUCGCUCGUUUAAUAAACGGGCCGAACACGAGUUGAAUUUUUUUGCUCGUUUAAUAAACGAGCCGAACACGAGCUAAAUUUUUCGGCUCGUUUAAUAAACGAGCCGAACAUGAGUUAGGGUCGUUCGCUCGUGUUCGGCUCGAUAACAGCUCGAAUACUUAUAUUUUAUAUUUAUAUAAUUUACUUAAUUUAUAUUUUUAUAUAUAAAUAAAUAAUUAUAUAUAAUAUAUAAUUUUAUUAUUUAAUUUUUUUAGUAAAAUAAAAUAUAAAUGCAAACUUAAUUAUAAAAAAACUCAUUUAUUAUGCAAAGUUUCAACUAUUAGAUCAAAGUUUAAUGGAUAAUAUUUUAUAAAUUUAGUAAAAUAAAAUAUAAAUGGAAGUUGAAUUUUCGGCUCGAUAGUUUAACGGACCAGCUCGUAUUCGACUUGUUUAUUAAACAAGCAGAACACGAGCCGAUCCCUCGUGUCGGCUCGUUUACAUCCCUAUCGUGAAGAGAGAGAGAGAGAGAGAGAGAGGAGAGGGGGGGGGGGAGAGAUAAUUUUUAAUUUAUUAAAUUUUGUAAGUUAAAAAAUUAAAAUUUAUAAUUUUUAAAAUUACAAAAUUAAGAAUUUAAAUUUUAAAUUGUUUAAUUUUAAAAUUUGAUAUUUUAAAUUUUUUAUAUUUAGAAUUUGAUAUUUUGUAUUUUUAAAUUAAAUUUACAUUUGAAAUUUAAAGUUUAAAAUUUAAAAGUUUAUAUUUUAAAUUCUAAAAUAUAAAUAUAAAAUAUAAAAAUUUAAAUUCUAAUAUAAAGAAACAUUAUUUUUUAUUUAUAACUAUCCACUUUAAUUCUUAUUCCAUUUUACCUAACCAAACUUUAUUUUUUUUAUUUUCAGAAAUAAUCUAAUUUUUAUCCAAACGCAAAAUUAAUAUAAUCUCCGCUUAUAUCUCAAUUUAUAUAUAUUUCGUGUAGUAUCCCUGGUGUUCAGCUUUUGAGGCUUGGCGAUACGCCGUGAGGGUGUCGGGACAACUCCGAGUCUCGUUGGCGCGAAAUAGACGCAAAACGGACUCAGCGGGGACGCGAGAGCAAAAGUUCGCUUUGGAAACUGUAAUUGCAGAUUUUUCUGUUUGUGUACCGGUACAGCAUCAGGGGUGUACCGGUACACAUUUUGUACCGGUACAGUAUCGGAGGUGCACCGGUACACUUUGCCUGUUUCCGCGCAGCUGCUCUCGGGUUGCCAUUUGUACCGGUACAGAUGCACGUGUACCGGUACACCAGGGUAGGUAAGAGGGCAUUUUAGUCUUUUUUUGCCUCGUACGUAUCACCAUCCCUUCCAUUUGCUUUAUGUACGUGUUGGGGAGCUGAGGAGGACUUCUUGCAUGCUUCUUCUCCUCUUUCUCUCUCUAGGCUCAACCGUGAGCAAAGAGGAGCUCGGGUGGUUUUGGAUCGACGCCGACGUCGCGCCGCGGAGCCGUUCGAGCACACGAGCACCGUUGUUGCUGCGUUGGGAAGCCGAUCGAGCGUGUGAUUUCGCCAUUUCGACGUCGUGCCGGUGUUGGUUAGCGUUUCGAGGUGGGUUUAUCAUCGGUUUUCUACUCCUAAGGUCUCGUUGGUCGGCAUGUAUACUUCGUGCAAACACUACUUGUAUUAUAGCUCGAAUUCAUGAUUGUUUCAGGUUUUUGCUAACUAAACUGAAUUUGGAGCAUGAUUUUAGUUGUGGAUAGAUUAUACAUAUCGGCCUUGGAUUUGACGUAGAAGAAAAUUGCGAUUAUGACCUGUCAUAUGUCUAAACUACCUGAUUUAGCUCUAGGAGCCGUUGUUAUUUUGUAUUGCCGUAAUAUCUGCGUGGUGGAUACCCCAGAUAGUUUAGAUCUCUGUUACGCUCGUGCUGCGAUGCCGAGAGUAUUUUUACAGUAGUGUUCAGACUGUUUCGGAUAGUUGGGUGCCGUCGGGACUGAUGGUGGACCCAGUUGCCGAGUUGGCAUCGGCUUGUGCCGAGGGGACGUGACUUGUGGGUUGUUAGACCAGUUGGAUCAUGUUUCUUGACUUUAGCCUGGGAGAGCCUGAUUGAGCUCGACAGAGAUACGCUUGCAUACUCGUUUGGGUCGCGCCUACGAGUGUCACUCCGGAGUCGGGCUUUAUACUUUUGCGUCAGUGUCGUUGUGUUCUGGUUGGACUUGCUCUGCACUAAUUACCCAGCGUGGUGGUUGUUAGUGUAGCUUCGACAGGCAGGAUGGGUGUAUCACAGUCCCUGGUGAGAUUGGGUCAGGAUUUACUUUUACUAUAGUUGGUUAGUGUAGAGCAUGAUAGUGUAGUGACAUGUAGCUGUAGAUUGUCUUUCAGCUUUCCCUUCUAUCUUUACUUCAUUCUGUAGACUUAGUGGGUGGACCGAUGAUGUUGAAGGCAGCACCCACUGAGGACUAUUUAUUUUUUUACAGUAGUUCUCACGCCCAGUUAUUUCUUUUCGUUUUGCAGAGCCGUCGUCGUCGGCUGUUGCUGAUCCUGAUCGUGGCAAGGACGUCGCGGGUUAGAACCCUACCAGACGAACCCGAGCUAGUGGAGUACCAGCUACAGGUAGUUGUAGUUUUUCGUUCAUUACAUACUGAUGUUAUACCUCGCUGGAAGGAGUGUUUUUGUACCAGGAUAUUAUGUAUGUAUUGAUCCAUUUUUAUUAUACAUUCAUGUUCGUUUUACUAGCAGCUCUAUAUUACUGGUUGUAGUGUUGUAUUAUUACAGGUACAGUUACAGCUUCGCUUCGUAUAGAGAAAAAAAUUUUAUGUAUACGGCGGGUCUGUUGGUGUGCCCGGAAAAACGAGUAAUCCGGGGCGUAAUAAUUUCUGGAGUAGCCACUUUUUAUUUAUUCCCGAAUCAAACGAUAGCUUAGAUUGUUAAUAUUUAAAAAGUAAUAAAAUUAGUAUAAAAAUAUUUGGCUCUUAAAUUAAUAGGAUGUGAGAUUCAGACUUAUUUUUGGAGUCUAUAGAGAGUAAUACUACUUCUAACUAUAUCUUUUAUCGAAUGAGGACUUUAAUUAUCUUGCUCAUAUCUUGCUCGUGUGAAAUAGACCCAAAAUUGUGAAAAUACAAUUAUUAAACUCAGUUGUCCAGCUUUCAUUUCUUCAGUAAUAUGAGAGUUUUGGCGUAGAAAAAUAUUUUUAAAAUGAGUUAGCUAAUAGCGCUUGUAAACUUAUUUUUAUAAAAUUUAAUUUAUUAUCAAAUUCACCAAUUUUUCUAAUGUUGAACCUAUCUAAGAUAGAGUGGAAGUAUACAUAAAGUAAAAAUUGACAAAUAUUUUUAAGACAAAUGCUACUUUUAUACCAUAUAUAUAUAUAUAUAUAUAUAUAUAUAUAUAUAUAUAUAUAUAUAUAUAUAUAUAUAUAAAGUGAGGCUACUAUGCUAUUGGAAGUAUGGAGCCUUCCGUGCUUUCAGCUCAUUUUUGAUGUUGUGACUUUCGAAUCGUCGAUCGGCUCUAUUAAACUUGAUCUAGAGUAUUUGAAAUACCUAGAAAAUAAAUUUUAUGAUUUUUUGAUAUCAUUUGCCUAGUGAUCGAAGGGACUCAAAAUCAAUAAUUUUAAAGGUCGUAGUGAGCCAUUUACAUGUUUAACGGUGUAAAAAUAUUCAAAUAACGUGAAAUUUUGAUAGAAAAUUCUUUAUACUAUAUAAAACAAGAUCAAUAUCUUUGAUCUAAAAUUUUAAUGUCAUAUUAUCACGUUUUGUAAGAUUUUUAUUUUCAGCCGUUGAUUUUGAGGCCCUUCAUUCACUAGGUAAAUAAUAUCAAAAAAUUAUAUAAUUUAUUUUCUAGGUAUUUCAAAUACUCUAGAUUAAAUUUAACGGAGUCGAUCGACGAUUCAAAAGUCGUAACAUCGAAAACGAGCUGGAAGCACGAAAGGCUCCGUGCUUCCUAUAGCAUAGUAGCCUUACUCUAUAUAUAUAGUGUAAAGCUACUAUACGUCCGAAAAUAUAAAAUAGUUAGUACUCUCGCCUUUUGAUCCUUGGAGAAAGGGUUGGGAUAAUGGAGGUUCCGACUCUUUAGAAUUUAGUGGUCGCCACAAGAAAAGAAUAUUAAUCUAAAGACUAAAAAUAAUCAAACAAGUAACAAGCUCUUCCCUUCUUUGGAUAAAAGUUAGGCCUUUUUCAUGAGCUUUUAAGUGAAUUUUUCUAAUUAAUGAAGAUGGACUGAUGGCUACUUAUCAAGUCCAGUGGUACUCCUUAAAAAAGGACGGGGGAGGGAAAGAGUGGAGCUUCAACAUCCACACAGGAACGUCUACUCUUUUCCCUUAUCAAGCGAGCCAGACCCCAUUGUUACUGUUACUGUUAGAGAAUCAUUAAAGAACUGUUUAUAUUUUCAAUUUUACCAUCAUAAAUAUGUCUCUUCAAAAUCUACAACAGUAUAAUAUAAAAAGGGUGCAAAUUUUAAGUUAUCUCAUAAAUGAACCACCGUUAAGUAUUAACUAAUGAUUAACUAAAUUUUUCUAACAGAUUCUAACGACAGAAAUAUAUUUAAAAAUAUUACGACUUUUAUAAGGAUAACAUAUAAAAGUUAAAAUUUAUAGAAAUAUAUUUAUAAUUUACUAUAUUUGUAAAAAUCUGAAUGCAAUUAUUUUUACUUUUUAUUAGCAUUUUAUCGCCUAAUUAGAGAAAAGAUUCCUCCCACCACUAUACAGGUGAUCGAUUGGACUUAGGGAUGUCAAUGGGUAUGGAUACCCGAAAUUUUAUCCGAACCCGAACCCGAAUGAAACGGAUAUAUCCGAUGGAUAUGGAUAUGGAUUUGGAUAUGGAUAUAAAAAAUAAAAACCCGACGGAUAUGGAUUCGGAUAUGGAUUUUAAUUGUAUCCGACCCGAACCCGAACCCGACCCGAACCCGAAUUUAUUUUGUAUUAUAUAUAAUAUAUAUAUAAAAAUUUGAUGUUAUAUUUGAAUUUGUAUUUUAAAAUUUUAAAUUUAAUAUAAUAUAUUUUGAAAUAUUGAUAAAAUAAAUAAUUGUUUCGAGUUCAAAUUUUCGGGUUCGGAUUCGGGUUCGGGUUUCGGAUUUUUGGUCGGGUUCGGGUUUGGAUAUGGAUUUUUAAAAUCCGUCGGGUUCGGGUUCGGGUUCGGGUCUCGGGUUUGGAGUCGGGUUCGGGUUCGGGUUUUUAAAAAUCCGCCCCGAAUCCGACCCGUUGACAUCUCUAAUUGGACUUCUUCAUUUCCUUUAUAAAGAAAUGCCCUUUUCUUUCAUCUGGUUAAUAAGCUUCCGUUCACGUCAGGCAAUGAAUCUUUUUUCUUUUUUUCUUUUUUUUUUUUUCUCGUUGCCUCUUUCGCUUUCCUACUUAAUCUUAGAGACUUUUUCUUACUCUUUCCUUAGAUGGAUUCUCUACGCUGCUAAGAAGAAUCUCAGGGGUGAAGUAACAUUCAAUGAACCCACGAAUGUGCCGUGCCCCUCCACAGACGACUAGGGGUGUUCUAUCCUGCAUAUGUAUAUGUGUGUGUGUGUGCGCGUGCGCGUGCGUGUGCGCGCGUGUGAAUUUUAACCAUAUUCCAUCUAAGGAUGCACUACACUCUUUCAGAUUUUUGAUACUAAUUGAUAAGACUAGUAGACAAAUUGUAGUCAUUGAAUAAGAGGGGUGCAGAUCUUUCGCUUACUCUAGAGGACUAUAGAAAGCCAUGCUCAUUUUUUAAUGAAUUAAGUGCCGCAGAAUAAUUUGAACUUGCACCUGUUUUCAUAUUAUCUUCUAAACUAUUUGAACUUUUAUAUUUUUUUAUUGAAAAUUUUAAAAUUUUGCAAUUGAGCAACUAUUUAUAUUUUAACAAUUUGAAGGCACUAAUCAACCGUCCCUAGAGUAAGUGGCAAAGGGUUUGGUGGUUGGUACCCGAGACCCAAGUUCGAAUCCUAGUUGAUUCACAUUUCUAGCUAAGUUUAUUUCUAAAUAAAAUAAACGAAGCAGGUAGCGUGCUACCUAUCUUUCUCUCUCUCAAAAAAAAAAAAAAAAAAAAACAAUUUGAAGGCACUAAUGUAUAGUGAAACUGAUAAAAACUAAUAAACAAUUCAUGACAGUAAUUUAGAAAGGGCAUCAAAAUUCAGUCUUAUAUACAAUACCAAAAUAGACUUUUACUGUUUGAGUUUUACAAAUUAAAAUAAUAAAUAUGGUUAAUUUUAUUGAUCCAAAUAACUCUGGGCAUCAAGAACACUCAUCUAUACUAUUACUAUACUAUAUUUUUUUUUUUUAUUUUUUUACUAAUACAAUGUUAAUCAUUCUAUAUUUGAUAAAAUAAGAAUCUAGGUGGUGAAUCAUAAAAUUUCAAAAGUUUGAACAGUAGGUAAAAAUUUUGAACUGAUCCGAUCCGACAGGUUAGCAAUAAUAACUCGUUGGGCACAAACCACUAGCACAAAAACACUUAAGUUAAUUAUUAUUUUUAGAGUAGUGUCUUAUAUAUUCAACCAUAAUUUGUUUCCAUCCGAUGUGGGACUAUUAGGAUGUCAUAACUUCUUUAAAAUAAAAUCUAGCCCGACUAGUCCAGCUGAUUUUAAGUGGAAAAAAGUCUUCUCAAUCAAAAAGGAGUGAUUGGUCUAAAUUGUAAUUUUAUUUUAUGAAAAGUUUUUUUUUUCACAUAUAAGUACUUCUAUUUUUCGAAUUCAGUUUUCCAUAAAAUUUGGAAAGAAGUUGUUUUUAGUUUUUAUUAAACCAAACGAACAGAAAAUUAGAAAUUUCUCUUUUCAUAUAAUACAUUUUUUUCGAAAAAAAAAAUCGUACUUUUUUGAGAAACCAACUAACUCCUAAGUUAUACGUUUGAUAAACCGUACGCACAAUGCUCCUUCAAAUAUAGGAAGGACAUUUUGAACUAACCUCUUUGUUAUAUAUAAACCUAAAUUACAAUGUAGAAUAUAAAAUAUGAAAUAUAAAAUUUGAAUUUGAAUUUUAAAUUUUUGACUUUAGAAUAUGAGCUUUGAAUUUGAAUUGGAAUUUCAUUUUGAAUCUAAAUUUUGAUUUGACAUCUGAAUUUAUAUUCAUAUUUAAAAUUUAAAAUUGAAAUUGAAUUCGGAAUUCAAAUUUAAAAUGUUGAAUUUGAAUUUAAAGCUAUAUUGAAUUUGAAGAAGAUAUUUCAUAAUUUUUUUUUGUACGGGAGUAUAUUUAAUCUUUUAAAUUGUUAUAAUUAGGUUGUGCAAUCGAAAUUAAUUUGACUAAAAAUUAACGUAUUGCUGAUAUGAAAGUGAUGAAGCGUCUUAAUCAUCAUCGCGUCAUCGGUCACAAUAUUAUUAAAUUACUUUCACAUUAGCAAUAUAUCACUAUUUAGUCAAUGAAUUCGGGUCAAGAAAUUUGAAUGCACAAUUCAAAAAUUUUGAUCUCAAAUUACAGUAAGUUAUAAUCUGAGGAUGAAGACCAACAAUGUAACUUAGCCUAACUCUUUAUCAUAUGAUAAAGUUGUGCUUUAAAAAAAUUAAGGGUAAACUUUAAAUACCCCCUGUAGUUUCACAUUUUCUCACUUUAGUAUCAUGUAGUUUAAAAUGUAUCAAGUUAGCCAAUGUGGUUUUGUACUUUCUCACUUUAGUAUUCUGUGAUUUAAAGUGUAUCAAGUAAGCAUCUUGUGCUUUCAUUAAAUUCUUUUUAUUAUCCAUUUUAUUAUUUUUUUCAUUAAAUUAGUAAGAAAGUUAAAAUUAAAGGGUACUAAAGUGAAUAUUUGAUAGACCUAGAUAGGAUAUCUUAAGUUUUUUGUAUAUAAUUUAACAAAAUAUUAACAGAGUGUUGAUGCCAAAAUUAAAAUUAACACGCCGACCUAAUCCACAUAUGAGCUAAGGAUACGUGGUACAUCAGGAAUCGGCAAUAGGGCGCCUGAAGAUCAAGAGCGUUUAGACGGAAACGGUUGAGAAGUGGGUCGUAAUUUUCAUGUGAAGUGGGGUCUAACUUCCAUGAGAAGUGGGGCGUAACUUUCAUGAUCAUGGCUACACCACUUCCCCAACUAUUAUAACCAACCAAUAAUGUGGGCUAAUAAGAUAUUAUAAAUAGUAACUUUGAAGUCUGUAAUAACGAUUUUUCUCUCCCCUAAACGAGAAGACCACUGCAUUUUCAAUACUUUCCUUUCCUUCAUUUAUCGCUUUCUAGGAGUAGUCUACAUAUAAUUUUUUUUAUCCGCAUUUAUUGCUUUCCUAGAAGUAGUUUUUAAGUUAGAUCUCUGGAGUCUAUAUGCCCCACGGGCACACUCUGUUGUAAUCUAGAUUUUAGAGUCUAUAUGCCCUUCGAGCACACUCUAUUUUGUAUGAGUUUUCAACUUCAUUUUAAUAUAUAAAGACUUUCGACUCUUCAAGCCGACCAACUGGUGUGUGUUUCUUCUAUUCGGCGGCUCAUCUACCGAGUCAAAUUUGUAGCUGGUUCGUACAUUCGGCUCAUUCCAGCCGAACCGAAUCUUUAAUAGAGUUUUCGAACUCAGCUGAUCCGAUCUCUCAUCAGCCAAAUCGGUUGAUCCAGUCAAAGGGCGCAAACUUCGAGGGUCACCAUUCGUAGUCGUUCCGCAUUCCUACGCGCUUUCGAAGGGAGGUCUUUAACCAGGUCAAAGAUAAGGACGUUCGGCUCCCAACACAGAGAAAAAAAAAAUCAUUGAUAAAAUUAAAACUAAAAGGUACUAAAGUAAAUAUUCGAUAAACCUAGAUAGGGCAUCUACAGUUUUUUGUAUAUAAUUUAAUAAAAUAUUAAUUGAGGAGCUGACGAAAAGAGAAACAUAAAACCAUGGGAUUUUAAAUUGAUGCACUUGAAACCACAUAAUAAAAUAAGAAAGUGUGAAACCACAUUACCAAAUUGAUAUAUUUUAAAACACAAGCUACUAAAGUGAAAAAGAAUGAAAUCAUAGGGUGGUAUUUAAAGUUUUUUUCAAAAAUUAGUUGUAUCAUGAGCCGUCUGUUUAUUUUGCCGACAUCAAAAUAUGACGAUCUCGAUGUGCAUGUGGAUUCUCCGUGGCUCUCUCCACCGUAUGUAUACGGGAGUUUUAAGAAUUAAAUUCGUACAGAUUCCUAUAAAAAUAUUAAAUAAUAAAUAUAUUUCGUACAAAAUUUAAGUUAUUAAAUUUAUUUUUUAAAAAAAUUUCUGAUUUGUAAAUAUAUUUUUUUUUAAAGUUUUGAUUCGUUUAUAUUAUUCCACUACUAUUUGAUACACUAUUGAAAAUCCCCGCGCGGGGCUCAAGUGUCGCACAUCCGAGUCAGCCUUCUCGAGUCCUCUCCACGGACAAGUCUCCCAGAUCUCGCGUGUCCGACAUUACCCUAGGCCCGUGUCCCUUCAACCAUCCAAUACCCGGUCACACGGAACGCUAGACUUGGCCACUCCGCUAGCCAAGGGACGACUCAUGUCCUAUGGGUCGACGGGGGAGUCGGGGCCACUUACUCACGGUCGAGUCCCAGCGAUCGAUUCGUGAUAGGCUCCCCCACUUGAACCAUCGACAUCCUCAUCGAUGCUCCACCACUUCAAACUCCGUUGCCAGCAGUAUUACUCUUCCAGAUCAGAGCCACCCAUGGCCUUGGCAUCUCAUGCCACACUAACCUGCCAUCGAGUUCGUCUGCUCAACAACGCUUCUGAAAAACCCAUUGGUCCUCCUCGACCAAAUUACUCUUCCAGACCAGAGCCACCCACGACUUGGCAUCUCAUGCCACACUGACCUGCCAUCGAGUUCGUCUGCUCAACAACGCUUCUUAAAAGCCCAUUGGUCCUCCUCGACCAAACGCUUCAUACACAUAUUCUGUCCUUCCUCGAGUUUAACUUCGUCAAUGCAAGUGCCUACCAAAUGUGGCCCCCAAAGGUGUCACGGUCGAGUCCCAGCGAUCGACCCGUGACAGGCUCUCCUACUUAUUUUUUUAACAGUAGAUGCGCAAAAUGGCUAUUUUACGCUCACAAAUUUAUCUUUGCGAAGUACAAUCUUUCGUUCUCUCUUUUCUUGCCUUCGCCGCAGCACAUGCAGUGUGCCUCAACUUUGCCACGAUCGAGAGCCUUGCCUUCAACCUCGCCACCAUUAUAGGUCUCGCCGUCGCCUUUGAUAAAGAAAAGAGAAUGAGAGACAUGAUAAAACUCAAUGUUAAAACACAAAUUAUAAAUAUAAGAGAUAAAAAAUUAUUUUACUUCUUAGCUAAUUGUGAUUAUCAUUUUUAACUUAUGAUUAUCUAAAUUUUAUUAGCAGAAGAAUACAUUUGUAGACCGAAGAAUUUUUGAAGGAAUAAAUCUAGUAACUUAAAUUUUGUAAAAAUAUAUUUAUUAUUUGAAAGCCAUAUGUAAUUAUUUUUUUUAUUAAAUUACACGUGCAUAGGACAUAGUGUUUUGAGCCAAAAAAAAAAAAAUAAUAGCACGAAUUUCAAAGUAUGCUAACUCUAAAACAAUAUACGUAGAUAGGGCUGGCAAACGAGCGAGCCGGCUCGCGUUCGACUCGUGUUCGGCUCGAUAUUCGGCUCGCUCGAGCUCGACUCGAAAUUAAAUGAGCCGAGCUUGAACAAAAUAAAAGGCUCGAAAUUCAUUUCAAGCCGAGUUUGAGUAUUACUCGGCUCGUUCGAAUUAGGUUCGAAAAGCUUGAAAAGCUCGAAUAUAUAUAUAUAUAUAUAUAUAUAUAUAUAUAGAUAGCUGGGGCUACUAUACUCUUAUGAGUAUAGACCCCAUUGUACUCAUAAAUUUUUAACCGUUGAUUAAUGGGAUGUGUGGUUAGGAUGAUGGUGGUCUCCACUUAGAAUGAUAGUGGUCCCCUAGGGUUGAGUGGGUAUCUCAAAAAAAAAAAAAAAAAAAAAACACAUUUGAAGGCACUAAUGUAUAGUGAAAACUGAUAAAAACUAAUAAACAAUUCAUGACAGUAAUUUAGAAAGGGCAUCAAAAUUCAGUCUUAUAUACAUACCAAAAUAGACUUUUACUGUUUGAGUUUUACAAAUUAAAUAAUAAAUAUGGUUAAUUUUAUUGAUCCAAAUAACUCUGGCAUCAAGAACACUCAUCUAUACUAUUACUAUACUAUAUUUUUUUUUUUAUUUUUUUACUAAUACAAUGUUAAUCAUUCUAUAUUUGAUAAAUAAAGAAUCUAGGUGGUGAAUCAUAAAUUUCAAAAGUUUGAACAGUAGGUAAAAUUUUGAACUGAUCCGAUCCGACAGGUUAGCAAUAAUAACUCGUUGGGCACAAACACUAGCACAAAAACACUUAAGUUAAUUAUUAUUUUUAGAGUAGUGUCUUAUAUAUUCAACCAUAAUUUGUUUCCAUCCGAUGUGGGACUAUUAGGAUGUCAUAACUUCUUUAAAAUAAAUCUAGCCCGACUAGUCCAGCUGAUUUUAAGUGGAAAAAAGUCUUCUCAAUCAAAAAGGAUGAUUGGUCUAAAUUGUAAUUUAUUUUAUGAAAAGUUUUUUUUCACAUAUAAGUACUUCUAUUUUUCGAAUUCAGUUUUCCAUAAAAUUUGGAAAGAAGUUGUUUUUAGUUUUUAUUAAACCAAACGAACAGAAAAUUAGAAAUUUCUCUUUCAUAUAAUACAUUUUUUCGAAAAAAAAAAUCGUACUUUUUUGAGAAACAACUAACUCCUAAGUUAUACGUUUGAUAAACCGUACGCACAAUGCUCCUUCAAAUAUAGGAAGGACAUUUUGAACUAACCUCUUUGUUAUAUAUAAACCUAAAUUACAAUGUAGAAUAUAAAAUAGAAUAUAAAAUUUGAAUUUGAAUUUAAAUUUUUGACUUUAGAAUAUGAGCUUUGAAUUUGAAUUGGAAUUUCAUUUUGAAUCUAAAUUUUGAUUUGACAUCUGAAUUUAUAUUCAUAUUUAAAAUUUAAAAUUGAAAUUGAAUUCGGAAUUCAAAUUUAAAAUGUUGAAUUUGAAUUUAAAGCUAUAUUGAAUUUGAAGAAGAUAUUUCAUAAUUUUUUUUUGUACGGGAGUAUAUUUAAUCUUUUAAAUUGUUAUAAUUAGGUUGUGCAAUCGAAAUUAAUUUGACUAAAAAUUAACGUAUUGCUGAUAUGAAAGUGAUGAAGCGUCUUAAUCAUCAUCGCGUCAUCGGUCACAAUAUUAUUAAAUUACUUUCACAUUAGCAAUAUAUCACUAUUUAGUCAUGAAUUCGCGGUCAAGAAAUUUGAAUGCACAAUUCAAAAAUUUGAUCUCAAAUUACAGUAAGUUAUAAUCUGAGAUGAAGACAACAAUGUAACUUAGCCUAACUCUUUAUCAUAUGAUAAAGUUGUGCUUUAAAAAAAUUAAGGUAAACUUUAAAUACCCCCUGUAGUUUCACAUUUUCUCACUUUAGUAUCAUGUAGUUUAAAAUGUAUCAAGUUAGCCAAUGUGGUUUUGUACUUUCUCACUUUAGUAUUCUGUGAUUUAAAGUGUAUCAAGUAAGCAUCUUGUGCUUUCAUUAAAUUCUUUUUUAUUAUCCAUUUUAUAUUUUUUUCAUUAAAUUAGUAAGAAAGUUAAAAUUAAAGGGUACUUAAAGUGAAUAUUUGAUAGACCUAGAUGGAUAUCUUAAGUUUUUUGUAUAUAAUUUAACAAAAUAUUAAGAGUGUUGAUGCCAAAAUUAAAAUUAACACGCCGACCUAAUCCACAUAUGAGCUAAGGAUACGUGGUACAUCAGGAAUCGGCAAUAGGGCGCCUGAAGAUCAAGAGCGUUUAGACGGAAACGGUUGAGAAGUGGGUCGUAAUUUUCAUGUGAAGUGGGUCUAACUUCCAUGAGAAGUGGGGCGUAACUUUCAUGAUCAUGGCUACACCACUUCCCCAACUAUUAUAACCAACCAAUAAUGUGGGCUAAUAAGUAUUAUAAAUAGUAACUUUGAAGUCUGUAAUAACGAUUUUUCUCUCCCUAAACGAGAAGACCACUGCAUUUCAAUACUUUCCUUUCCUUCAUUUAUCGCUUUCUAGGAGUAGUCUACAUAUAAUUUUUUUUAUCCGCAUUUAUUGCUUUCCUAAAGUAGUUUUUAAGUUAGAUCUCUGGAGUCUAUAUGCCCACGGGCACACUCUGUUGUAAUCUAGAUUUUAGAGUCUAGAGAGAUAAGUAACACACUAUCCGCUUCGUUUAUUUCAUUUAGAAAUAAACUUAGCUGGAAAUAUGAAUCAAUUAGGAUUCAAACUUGAGUCUUGGAUACCAACAACCAAAUUUUUUGUCAUUUGAUCUAGAGACGGUCGGUAAUCAUAAGAUAUUUUUAACCUUUACUAGCAUAUGAUAUAUUUAUGUUAAGAUGCAAAUAUCUGGUACUCUCCCUCCACAAGGCCAAUUUUGUCAAUUCACCAAGCUCACCUCAUAGUAGUAGCAUCUUUGUGUUUACUCCAAAAGUUUACAAACUCUCUCCCUUCUACUAUCAUCUCUAUCACAUGAUCUCAAUUUUCACUCUCACUCCUCCCCUCAACUCUAAGGAGUGAGAGGGAAAAGAAACAACAAACAAACCCUCCUUCUCCAUCUCUAUAGCAAAUUUUAUACAUAUUGAUGGCGGUGCACAUGGUGGCGGUCGCGAAGCUGAAGCUUCUCGCGGGGGGCGGCCACAGCAACUGGAAGCUCCUCGCGGCGCUGCUCUGCCCCUUCGCGCUGAAGCUGCCCUUCUUCGCACAGUUUCCGUCGUCGUGUGCCGACAUAGCGGUCUCCGUCCGCCUCUUCCUCUUCCGCCUCAACCGCAUAUUCUUCGACGACAGCAUCCCCGCCGCGGGGCGGUGGAGAAGGGCGCUGCGGCUUCUCCACGAUCGGGCGAACGCCGACGAGGGGAUGCUUAGGAUGGUUCAAGUCAAUGAGGAGAUGCUCAAUGCUUUGUCCAUGCUAGCUCUCUAAAGGAUUGAUUCAUAUGAAUAUAUCAUGUUCAUGAGCAUAAUAUGGUCUGAAGCUAUUAUAGAUAUAUCAUUUUGUGUGGUGAGAGCAAAUAAAUAUAUCUCUAUAUUUUGCACCAAUUGCAUCUAUUGUAUAAGGUAUAGUAGUGUAAACGUAAUAUGAUUAUUAUAUAGAGUGUGUAGGGAAAAAAAAAGGAAUAAGAAAUACUUAACGAUUUUGUUUUUUGAACUUUUCACACUCAAAUGCACACUAUUUAUAUCAUAUUUUGAGGGGAUAUAGAAUUGUCCAAUAUUAUUCUGAAAAUUUAAUAGUGUUAAUUUAUAAUUAAUAGUGUUAAUAUGUUAAUAUAAACUCUAUUAACCUAUAUGAAUCUUCAAUGAUUUUGCCACGUGGCAAGUUUUCCUCCACCCUCACUAACCUUUUUUUUAAAUUAAUCUUUAUCAUGGCUUUUUCCCUCCCCUCCUCUCUAUUCAAUAACAUAUAAUCAAUGUGCUUUUAAUUUAUACGUUACUGAGUUUUUCCUCUUCAAUAUAAGUUCUUUCUUCUCCCUCAAAUAAUUCAUAACAUGCAAAAUUAAAAGAGGAGAGGUUAGUUUUGACUCAAAAGGGUGCAAAAUCAUGCAAACUUCUAUGAGAUUUUCAUCACCAUCGUCGUCAUGAUCGUAACAUUAUCAUCUCCAUCUUCAUACGACCUUUGUAGAUUUUUUCUUUAAAUGGUGAUUCUAGGCAGUUAUCAAUUUCAAUGGUUAUAUUGAUUAGUUCAAUUCAUACAUUUCUCUACCCAAAAAAUAAAGCACACUUGAAUUUUUAUUUUCCAAACUCCUUUCUUCAUCCUCUUCAAUAUUUUUUAUUUUUUUCUUCUAUUCUUUAUCCGCCGCAUCGCGCGGGCUACUACACUAGUAUAUAUAUAUAUAUAUAUAUAUAUAUAUAUAUAAUCAAUAUUAAUAUAUAUACUAUAUAUAUAUAUAUAUAUAUAUAUAUAUAUAUAUAUAUAUCUAUAUAUAUAUAUAUAAAAUGCAUUUAAUUAUAUAUAGUUUUAAUUUAAUUUGGGUCAUUAUUGUUGCCAUAAAAUAAACCCAAAAGAUACAACCGUGCAAUGAGCCAACUCCUAAAUUUACAUAACACACUCUCUCUUUCAGACUUUCACUGUUGCACAUAACCCUAAAACAUGUAACAUUCAAAUUCCCAAAUCCCUACUUUUCGUCCUCUCUCUCUCUCUCUCUCUCAGACGCUCAUCCAGUCAGGAAUCACCCUAGCUCACAUUUCUUAUAAUAUUUUAUAUUUUGAACUAUUGGACAUAUUGCAUCAAAUUGUAGGUAAUGUUCUAAAAAAUUAAACUAUUGAUUAUAUAAUGUCGAGAAUUUCAAUCGGCUCGUUUAGAGCUCGAGCUCGGCUCGACUCGAAAUUAGGCUCGCUCAAGCUCGGCUCGAAUUAAUUUCAAGCCGAGCUUAAACCUAGAUUUAGGCUCGAAAUUAAUUUCAAGCCGAAUUUGAGCUGACAUAAGCUCGCUCGAGCUCGGCUCGUUUCCACCCCUAUACGUAGAUUCUCUAAUUAACUUGUAUUCGAAAUUCGAGGCUCCCUAGGUUCUACUAGGUUCAAAAAAUUUACCCACUCAAAUUGAUUAAUCGAUUUUGUAAUCUACAAAGCUAAGCACGUUCUAGUUUUGAAAAAGGUUGAGCUUAAAUAACAUUGUCUAUAAGCAAAAGCUAAGGGGGUGCUUUGUUCUUCGAAAAAGUGUGAAAAAAAUCUUUCAAAAUUUUUUUUUUCUCUGUCCAUUUAGUUUGAAAAAAAAUAAAUAUUUUCAAAUUUCUUUUCAUGAUCGAAAACUAAUAUUUUUGUUUUUUAAUUUUUUUUAGAAAAAAUGCACUAGUUUUUUUUUAUAAAAUAUUAAAAAAAUUCAUAAAAACUUAUUUCUUUCAUAACCAAACAAAAAAAACUAAAAAAAAAAUUUAUAAAAUUAUUUUCUAGUAAAUUUUUUACACACUUUCUCAAGGAACCAACCAGCCCGUAAGUAGAGAUGUCAACGGAUCGGAUUUGGGGCGGAUUUUUAAAAACCCGAACCCGAACCCGACUCCAAAUCCGAGACCCGAACCCGAACCCGACGGAUUUUAAAAAUCCAUAUCCAAACCCGAACCCGACCAAAAAUCCAAAACCCGAACCCGAAAAUUUGAACCCGAAACAAUUAUUUCGUUUUUCAAUAUUUCAAAAUAUAUUAUAUUAAAUCUAAAUUUUUAAAAUACAAAUUCAAAUAUAACAUCAAAUAUAUAUAUAUAUAUAUAUAUAUAUAUAUAUAUAUAUAUAUAUAUAUAUAUAUAUAUAUAUAUAAAAUACAAAAUAAAUUUGGGUUCGGGUUGGGUACAAUUAAAAUCUAUAUCCGAAUCUAUAUCCGUCGGAUUUCUAUUUUUGAUAUCCAUAUCCGAAUCCAUAUCCAUAUUCAUCGGAUAUAUCUGUUUUAUUCGGAUUCGGGUUUGGAUAAAAUUUCGAGUAUCCAUACUUAUUGACAUCCCUACCCAUAAGGGCUCAUUUUGUAUUAUUGCCCUUUUAUUUUUUUUAAAAAAAAAAAUAGUAUAGAAGGGGAUAAUUGAUUGCUUGUAAUUUUUCUAUUCAAAAAAUUUAUUUGACAAUAAAAAAUAAAAAUAUAGAAAUAAUUUUUUUCACUUCAUUUUUUUUCAAAAAUUAUCAUGAGUCAGUUGGCCGGAGUUAAUGCAACAACGUUUAAAAAAAUAAAAAAAGGAAAAUAAUGUUAAAAAAUGAGGCCUUAGUUUUUGACAGAAAAAAAAAAAAAAAACCCUAUAAUAGGAAGUUGAACCAUGCUUUUGGAACUUUAAAAGCAAAAAAUUUAAGGUAAAAUUUGCCGGAUCAUUGGCCCUAACUAUUUACCCCCAAAGCUCGAGCUAUUAAAAAUAUACAAUCAAUUUAUUUAAAACGCAUAGACACAAUAUUCACGGACCUCAAUUGUGACUCAGUCCAACCAGCUUCACGGACCUCAAUUGUGACUCGGCCCAACCUAGCCUCACGUCAUUCCGAAGCACGCCAUUCCGAACGCGAUUCAGCCCAACGUAACCUUCCGCUAUAGGAUAGGAUGAUGGCCUAUUUAAGCCAACAAUCUCCCUCCAGCACUCGCACAUCGCAGCACGCGGCAAUCGAACUCACGAUCUCUGGCUUUGAUACCAUUUGUCGAAUCGUUGGCGCUAACCAUUAAUCCUAAAUCUUGAACUAUUAGAAAUAUGCAAUCAAUUUACUUAAAACAUACCAAUACAGCGCCUACGGGUCCCGAUUGUGAUUCGACCCAACCAUCCUCACGCCACUUCGAGUAUAACUCGGACCAACCUAACCUCACGCCAUUCCAAACGUGACUCGGCCAAAUCUGGCCUUCUGCCACACGGCAGGAUACUCUCUUAUUUAAGCUAACAAAAUUAUACAGAGCUUAUCUCAGCAAUAAAGCAUUUUGAGUUAGCUACCAAAAUUUUCAGAAUUUUGAUUUUGCUAUCUGAAAUUUUAAUUUGUUUGAUUUGAGUCAGUCAACGAUAUCUUAAUUUUAAAAUUUAAUCUAAUUACUUUAAUAAAUUUAUACUUAUAAAAACUGCAUGAAAUAUUAACUAAAUCUCUAAAGUGCACAUUUUAUCUAGAGAUUUAGUUAAUAUAUUUCAUACAAUUUUCACAGGUAUAAAUUUUAUUAAAGUCAGCAAUUAGAGUAAAAUUUAAAAUUAAGAUAUUGUUGACUGAUUCAAAUCAAACAAAUUGAAAGAUUAGAUAGUCGAUAUAAAAUGGUUCAUUGAUUAGAUAAGUUCUGUAUAUUUUUACCAAAAUUUUUAUUAAAAACCUCUACUUCUUACUAUAACAGAAAAUAAAAUCCUAUUAACGAGCUUUUGUUAAUACAUAAUUGAGUAAUUCUUUGAAACAACAUUUUUGCAUAAACACCGCCUUCCCUAGAGUAAGUGACAAAUGGCUUGGUGGUUGGUAUUCGAGAUCCAAAUUCAAAUCCUAGUUGAUUCGCAUUUCAAGCCAAGUUUAUUUCUAAAUGAAAUAAACGAAGCGGAUAACGUACUAUCUAUCUCUCCAAAAAAAAAAAAACCAACNUGCAUAAACUCCAACAAAAGGGAAUAUUAAAUUUAUGAAUAAUUGCCUAUAUACCUCUCAAAAUUUUAAAAAUAUCUCAUUUAUUUCUACUUUUUUUUUUUUCGAUAUACCCCUCAUAUAUUUCUCCGUUAUUCCAAAAUAGUCCUACAGUUACCACCCGUUAAAUUAACUUGCGUUAAACGUAAGUUAAAUAUCUACCAAAAUUUAAAAAAAUUAAAAUACCUCUUUUAUCCUUAACAUAAAGGCAAAUAAGAAAUGUUGAUGAUAAUAUAAAGGUAAAUUUGAAAAGACCAAAAAUUAAAAUGCUUUUUGUGCCCUUAGGGCAAAUAAGAAAACUCGGUCAUCAUAAAAAAGUAUAUUAAAAAUGGCAAAAUAGUAAUUUAAUAGAGAUAACAACUAUUGCUAACUAUUUAUUAAUAGAAUUUAACUCCAGGGUAUUUUUGAAAUAGGUUGGAACGUAAAAAAAGUAUUUUCAAUGCUAGCCUUCUAAGAGAGCUAAAUUGAAAAGUCGAAAAUUUUUCAGAAAUAUAUAAGCAAUUAUUUAAUACAAUAUUUUUAGUUCAAUACUAAAUUCAGACCUGGCAUACUAUGGAGGCAUGUUCGGAAUAUUGACCGACGGGGAAUUGUACUAAAACCCUCUAAACUUCAGCAUUUUUGCAAACAUGCAAUUAAAUUUUUAAUUUAAUUUUUAAACUUUAUCAAAUAAUUCAAUAGACCCUUCUUUCCGAGUGAAGUUACUAAUACUAAUUGGGCGGCCUUUUGAUCGUUUCAUGACACAUUUAAUCUUGAAUAACUUUAAAAUGGUAGGAAACAAAUAUAUAUUUCUUCUCUUCUAGUUAUGAUGAGGAGGAUCAGAAGUGAAUUGAAGUAUACAGUAGAUAUAUUUUCAAUUUUUUUUAACUUUCAUUGUUUUUUUUUCAUGUGUUAGAACAAAAGAAAUAGCUUUCUUUAUUUUUAAUUUAAACCUUUACAAGAUUUUUUUAACUUUGUGUUUUAAUCCUUUACAAGGGCUUAUUAUGGACUUUUCAAAUACCUACCACAAUAAUUGGAAUUCAAAUUACAUCCAAUCUGCGGCAAAUUUGAGAACAACAUAUAGAACUUCAUUUUUGAAUCAAAUUCAAUUUUUUCUUGAAUAUAAAACACAAAGUCAAAAGAAAACUUUCAGUGCAAAUUCAAAAUUUCAAUUUAAAUAAAAAAAUUAAAAUUUGGUUUUAAGAUUAGAAGUACAGUUUAGAUUCAAAUUUAAAAGUUGAAUUUAAAUUCCAAUAUCAAAACUUUACAUUGCAAUAACAAAUUCAAAAAUCAAAUUUAAAUUCAAUAUUUUUUUGAGUUGGAUACUUAAUAGAUUGCGCAUUAUCUAAUUCGGUAAACAAAAAAAAAACUAAACAAAAAAUUUUAAAAAUUUGUAGGCUGCUAAUAAAUUUGGUAUAUGCUGCUAAUUACUUUUCAAUAUUGUGCAGUUCACUAAUCUAAAUCGAUAAUCCGAUCAGUAAAUUACUUCAUGUAAAAUUUAAUCAUACCGUUCACUAAUUAACCAUUAGAUUUCAAUAACUAUGAUGUAUUCUAGUAUUCCUCUUAAUUAUUAACACGUACAUGUUCAUAACUAUACAAAUACCUACACAUAUACGUGCGUAUAUACUAACAUACAUGUACAAAUGUAUAUUGUCACAUUAAUUUUUUGGUUUUGUUUCGUUUUCUAAACUUGCAAUUCAAAAUCAAAUUAAAAUUUUUUUAUUAGAAAAUUUUGAAACCAAACCAAAAUUUUCAGUAGUCCUAAACUGAAUGUAAACUGAACUAACAUUGUCGAUUUAAUUUAAUUUGAUAUAUUUUUCGGUUUCAUGCCCGCCCCUAAUCUUCGUGCACAUUGCUCGGCUCUCAGCUUGCGUGGUUCCCCCUAUCAGUCUAUCACAAAACAUAAAUGUAUAUUUUUAAAAUAAAAGUUAAAAAACAAAAUUUUUCAUCUAAGCGGGACCACUCAACUCAACCCUAGGGGAACCACUCAACUCUAACUGACUAAUAUCAUUCUGAUCCUACAAUUUUUCAUCUAAGAGUUAAAAACUUGAUAGCAAAAAGAGCGUUUUACUAUUACUAGUAUUUCAGCCUAAUUCUAUAUAUAUAUAUAUAUAUAUAUAUAUAUAUAUAUAUAUAUAUAUAUAUAUAUGUGUGUGUGUGUGUGAAUAAUUACAAACUACAUUAGCAUUCGUGCCUGGACAAAGGUCCAAUAUGUACAAACAAAAACUAUAUAUCCUCUGUACUUCACGAUAAAAUAAUCCAAUUGGUGAGGAAUUGCAGGGGUGUACUUUGAAUGAACAGAUAAAGACACCAAGGCCAACUAAUUUCCCCAUGUGUCACCCUUUAAAUUAACCUCUCAUAAUCCAAAUUUCCCCCAUGCCUUCACGUGAUAUCUUUAUAAGGCAAGUUGCCUAGUUAAAAAAAAAUUCUAAAUUCUGUUACAAUAAAAAUUUAGAUAUGUAUAACUCUUUUAAGUUUCAAAAGUUGAAUCUUUAAGCCCUUGUUUGGUUGGGGUUAAGGGGUGGAAUAACCCCUUAACCCCCAUUUUAUCCCCAAACAUCCCAAAAAAUAGGUGGAGUUAGCUAAUCCCACCUCAAAUAAAUUAUUCCGGGUUAGCUAACCCCACCUAACUCCACCAAACUCCAACCAAACACUAUUUUUUAUUCAUAAUAACCCACUAUCUUUCUUAUCACACCUAUUCCAAUCAAUCAUUAUCCUUCUUUAUCAAUCAUUAUCUUCUUAUCCCACCUACCCAACCAAACACUAUUUUUCAUUAUUCUAGACUAACUCCAAUCCCCAACCAAACACAAAAAAACUUUAACCCCAAUUUAACCCUGAACUUAACUCUAUCCCUAGAAUAACUAUUUUUUCCUUAAUCCCGAACCAAACGGAGGCUUAAGUGCUUCUAACUUUGCAUGAAAAAGAUAUAUGUGCUAUCACAGGUAUACAUAGUUAGUUUUUUUUUUCUAAUAGCAAUAUUUACAUAGCAUUACUUUAUCAAAUAACAUUGCACUCUAUAAAGUGAGAAAAAGAUAUAUAUAUGCUAUCACAGUUUUUUUUUUUUUUCUAAUAGCAAUACUUUACAUAGCAAUACUUUAGCAAUAUUUACAUAGCAAUACUUUACCCACAGGUAUACAUAGAUAGUUUUUUUUUUUUUCCUGCUUUUUCUGAGGCCCUGGAUGCCUCACCUCUGUAGCCAAAUUCAUCUGUCCAAUGAAUGAAACAGGUAGCGUGCUACCUAUUCUCAAAAAAAAAAAAAAAAAAAAAAAAAAAAAAAACAUUGCACCCUAUAAAAGACCAUGAAGACGUACCCUUUUAGUAUCCAAGUGUUCUUUCUCAGACUUAGUGUCUAUUGGUUAAUUUUUAAUUAAUCUUCGGGAAUGUAAACCACUAAACUAUAAACCAAGUUUUGCAGUAGUGGAUAGGUCUCUCUAUAAACUAACUUAAAGCAUUUGUGUUCAUACUCUCUAAAAUUGUCUAUAAAAGGUAGUGGAAUGAGUAUACUCACAACACUUCACCAUAAUUAAGUGGUACCUUUCCUUUUUAAAAUUUUGCUCUUAAUUAGUAACAACAUGAGGGUUUCAUGUUUUCUCCUAUUGUUUCCUUUGGUGAUCUUCUUAAGCCAUUUUGGAGCUUGUGGAGCACAAGGCCUUGUAGUGAACUUCUACCUGUAGAUGAAAAUGGCAUAAAGUAAUUUAAGCCUUGUUAAUACACUUUGCUACAGCAAUUAAGUGGAAGGAAAAUUAAACACUUUCAUUCAAAAACUUGAUUACAAAAGGCUUACAAUUAAAGGACUUAAAUAGAAUAAGAAACUUGAAGUUUAAGAAAACCUAACCACACAUGUUCUCGACUACAUCCACUACACAUGUGCUCCUAGAAACUAGCUACCAUGAACUCCACAACAUUAAUUACCCACUACUUACACAUAUUAAGGCAUGUACUUAUCCACUAUCUACAUGAUCUUAGCCCACUACUUGCACCCACUACUUGCACAAUAAUAGGGCCACUAACAUGAUAAGAUUUGCAUCAUUUCCAACACUACCAGAAUAGUUGCCCCAGUGCUGAGGCCAUUGUGAAGAACAUCACUUGGUCUCAGGUCUCAUCUAAUCCUGCUUUACCUGCUAAGCUUCUGAGGCUUUUCUUUCAUGAUUGCUUUGUUAAGGUAAACUCAGUGUUUGUAAUAAUGCAUUCAUUUGUGUAGAAAUGAGAAUCAUGUUCUGUGUAUAUAUGUUGGUUUAAGCAUGAAUAUAUAUAAUGUUACUAGGGUUGCGACGCGUCGAUAUUGUUGGACAACCCUCAAAGCGAGAAGCAGGCGGGACCGAACCAGUCGCUGGGCGGAUUCGUGCUGAUCGACGCUAUAAAGGCCCAACUAGAGAAGCAGUGCCCCGGAAAGGUGUCGUGCGCCGACAUCAUCGCUCUCGUGACCCGGGACGCGCGCCGUCUCUUUUCAAGUAAUAAGCUUUACUGAAGAAGUUGAUUACUUGUUAUAAUUAACUCAUUCUUAAUCAAGAUUAUUUAGUUUAAUUUAAGAAUGCCUUCUUAAUCAAGAAUAUUAUGAUUGAAAUUAUGCAUGCAGUUUAAAGCAUCGUUGUGGCAAGUUGAGACCGGCCGGAGGGACGGGACGGUCUCGCUCGCGUCGAACGUCAUCCUACCGUCGCCCCUCUCCGGCUUCGACGGCCUCAAACAGAGUUUUGCAAGUAAAGGGCUCAGCGUUUCCGAUCUCGUGGCUUUAUCAGGUACAUGUUACUAGUGACUAACAUGCUGGCCUAAUAUCAUAUUGUUAAAUAUAAAAAUACGUAAACACCGUUUUCUACCGACUUAAAUGUUUAUAGAAUAACGGUUAUUUCGUAUUAUUUAUUCUAGUAUCAUAGUAAUGAUCCAAUAUUUUCAACAUCCUAUCAUUUUUUUUUCUCUGAAAGUUCUAGUUAUUAGUCAUGACUAAAAUACUUUCUACGUACCAAAACUUCCAUAAAAAUGUCUGCUGAAAUUGAUCAAGUUUCUUCAUAUCUUCUUCAUCCAUCUGACAAACGCAGCUAAUAUUUUUAUAUAACGCUGUUUAUAUAUUUUUAUAUUUAGCACAUAGAAAAUAAGCGAUUAUUAUUAUUCGUCAAAAGGGUGAAUCUAUAUAAGAAAGUGCAUUUUACUACUACUUUCAGGUGCACACACUAUGGGAAGAGCAAACUGCGCGUUUGUAACCCCGCGGCUCUUCACCUUCAACGGGAACGGCGGCGUCGACCCGCUGCUCGACGCGGCCUACGCAAACUCGCUGAAGAAGACGUGCCCGAGGGCGCCGCCCGCAGCCGCAACCGUGGAGAUGGACCCAGGGGGCUCGCUCAAGUUCGACGCAAGUUACUUCGUCGCGCUGAAGAAGAACCAGGGCCUGUUCCUGUCGGACGCCGCGCUCCUCCAAGACCCUGUGGCCGCGAAGCUCGCGUCGGGCUUUCAGGACCAGAAGACGUUCCUCGCGGCGUUCGUGCAGUCGGUGCGGCGGAUGGGCGCCGUCGGCGCGCUCACGGGGAACGCCGGGCAGAUCAGGAAGCAGUGCCGAGCCGUGAACUCGUAAGAAAAAAAAUAUUAGAAAAAUUAGGAGUUCCUUGAGAUUGGAAUUUAAAAACUUCUACUCUACCGUAUAAAAUAAUUAAUUACUCCAAAUGCUUAAGCGUUUGGUUAGUUUAAAAAAAAUAAAGGUUCCAUAGGAGGGUGGUCUAAUCUUUUGAAUUUUAGUUCUUAUCUUGGAGUAAAAAAUUAGUUCUUCGAUCUGGUUAAUAUAAAUGGUGAAUGAGAGAUUAGACCCUCUCUUCUAAGGGUUUCCCAUAUAAUUUCUUUUUUCUUUUCUUUCUUUUUGGGUACAAACCGCUGCUUCUUGUGAUCGCGCGAAUCUCACCGUUCAACAUUCCACGAAGAAUAAAUUAGUUUUACAUUGAUCAGUCCUUUUCUGCCCAAAAAUGUUUGUUAAAUUACACUCAUGUUAACUCUUUUCUGCAUAUACGUAUACAAUAAUUUGAAUUCAAAACUUUAAAUCCCAAAAGAGAUCUAGUGUCAAUCAACUAUUGUGAGGGACUGUUUGGUUGCAUGUUAGUAUAACUGCACUAUAAUUAUAACUAUAUAUAGAUUCAAAUUUGGUGUUUUGUUUGUUACUGUUAGGAGCCGAAUUCCCUGAUCCUUGACCUAGUCAAAGAUCUCUCUCGAGGAGAGUGUCGGGAUGCGGAACGGCUACGGUCAGUGACUCCCAAAGUUUGCGCCCUUCGACUGGAUCAAGCAAUUCGGCUGAUGAGAGAUCGGAUCAGUGAGUUCGAAAAUCUUUACUAUAGACUCGGUUCGGCUGGAAGAGCUGAAUGUACAGAAUGCAUAAGAUUUUGGGUCGGCUGAUGAGCCAAAUAGAUGGAAUACACAGUGACUGAUCGGCUGAAAGAGCCGAAUAUCUUUAUAUAUUAAAAUGAAGUUAGGAACUCAUACAAAAUAGAGUAUGCCCGAAGGGCAUACAGACUCUGAAAAUCUAGAUUACAACAGAGUGUGCCUGGGGGGCAUACAGACUCCAGAAAUCUAACUUAAAAACUACUCCUAAAAAAGCAAUAAAUGCGGGUAAAAAAGAUUACAUGUAGACUAGUACUCCUAGAAAACCCUAAAUGCAGAAAAGGAAAAUAUUGAAAAUGCAGUGGUCUUCUCGUUUAGGGAAGAGAAAGAUCUCUAUACCACUACAACAAAAACGGUUUAUAGCGACGCUUUUAAAUGUAGGUACAUGUCAAAAAAGUGCUGCUAGCUAAAAUUACCGACACAUUUAAAAAGUAUUGCUAUAUGUGGGGUCGCUAGGUAUAUAGUGACAGUUAAAGAGUGUCGCUAUAACCUAAAAGAGUGCUACUAAUUUACCAAUACUUAUUUAAGCAUUUAGCAACCGCCGAAACUCUAUCUCGUUGGCUGCGGUGGCGGAGGGGAACGACAGGAAAGGCUCUUCGUCUAAAAUUUCAGUGGAUUGAGUGAAGAGAGAAGAAAAGAUGGUAAUUGAUUUUUUUUUUUUUUUUCUUUUCUGUUUGUAAUCGGGCCAAAUAGAUUGGGUGUAGUGGAUUGAGUAGAGUAAUCUUUUAUUUUUUGUUGGAUUGGACUUUAUAUUUAGGCAUUAGUAGAUGUUUUUUUAAGUUUUAGGAUAAAUGUGACACUUACUCAAAAGUGUCCCAAACAUGUGUCCCUAUAACCUAAUUCUGUUGUAGUGCUAUAACAGACUUCAAAGUUACUAUUUAUAAUAUCUUAUCAGCCCACAUUAAUUAUUGGUUGGUUAUUGUAGUGUGGGAAGUAGUGCGGCCAUGAUCAUGAAAGUUAUGCCCCACUUCUCAACCGUUCCUGCCUAAACGCUCUUGAUCUUCAGGCACCUUCUUGCCGACUCCUGGUGUACCACAUGUCUUUAUUUAUUUGGCUUUUAUAUGGGUUAGGUUGGCGUGUUAAUUUUUUGGUAUCAACAGUUACAUUUGAAUUCAACAACUAAAGUAGGAACUGCGGAAAGAGCCUCAAUUGCGACAGUUGGAACUAUACCCAAGUCAGCUGCAAUUCCAAGUACUGCAGCAUUUGGAAAAAAGUAAUUUUAAAUAAAAAUAAGUUUGCCUCUCUAUUAUAAACUUUUAAAUAAAAAAUAUUUUUUUCAUACAUAGAAAUAAUCUCGUCAUCAUAUAUAUAAAAUGAUAAAGUUUUAUAAAUAUUCUUCUCAACAUCAUACAAUCAAAUAAAUUAUUUCUAGUUACAACACUGCUUACUACAUCCAAAAAUAAUGCAUAUAAUUAUAACUAUUGUACUUUUAACUGCAUGUAUUUUAACUACAUUGUAUUUAUAAUUACAUCCAACCAAAUAGCCCCUAAGUACAUAGUGGUGACAUGCAUGGUACGUAACUCAAAUUUCUAUUUUGGAAACAUGCAGAUAUCUAUUUCAAAAUGUAAUUGUAUAAGAUCUGAUUAUUUUUAUGACUACUUGGAUAAGUCUAUUUUUUCGUUGGCCAAUUUGCAUAAAAAAUCCACUUAUUUUGGGUUUUUACAAAAGCGGGUCACCUUUUUCGUUUUUACAGAUUCGGUCCGCUUUCUCAGCAAACUAACCAAAAUACUCUUAUACAAUUUUCUCUCUCCUUAUUUUUUUCUCUAGUUCUUUUUUCUUUCUCUUCCCAGAGAGCGGCGGAGACAGAGGCGGAGGCGGAGGCGGCCUACUUCGAUUCUGUCGAGCGCAUCCUUACCCUCGCCCGCACAACCCCCACCUUCCUUGCCUCCGACCCUGCCGAGGCUGCGCGACGACUUUUUUUUUUUCUUUUCCUCUCAGACUCUCCUCCACCGUCUUCGACGACGACACCUCUCUCGCCUUUCUCCGCCCUUCUCGUCCUCUCCUUCUCCCUCCUCCUCUGCCGCCUCCGACGAAGACGCAUCUUCGCCAGCGCCGACACCGACGCCGACGCCGACCCCUUGGAGGUUACUGCGGCACUGCAGCCUCGGAGCGGGGGGUCCUUAGCGGCGUCGUCACCGGUGCCGUGACCGUUGGCAGAGAGGGUUGACCAAAAAAAAUUAUAGAAGAAGCAAGAAAAAAAAAUAAAGAUAAAAAUUUAUAGAAAAAAAAAAAUGAAAAUAAAAUUGUAUCGUUAACUGUAAAAAAAAUUAUAAAUUGCACUACUUAAAAUGUAAACUGCAACUUUAAGAUGAAAAUUACACUUUUUAAAUAAAAAUUACACUCUUUGGAGAUAUUUACAUUGUUUCUCCUCUUAUUGCACUCUUUCAUAUGUAAACUACAUUCAUUAAAAUGAAAGUUACACUCCUUAAACGAAAGUUGCACUCUUUGAGAGAUAUUUACAAUGUUUCUCCUAUUCUUGCACUCUUUGAGAUGUAAACUGCACCCCUUCAAGAGAUAUUUAUACUGUUUCUCCUCUUGUUGCAGUGUUUCUCCUUUUGUUGCACUAUUUCUCCUCUUGUUAUACUAUUUUUUAUCUUAAACUGCACCCUUUAAAAAAAGAAACAGUAUAAUAAGAGAAGAAAUAGUGCAACAAGAGGAAAAACAGUGCAACAAGAGGAGAAACAGUAUAAAUAUCUCUUAAAAGGAUGCAGUUUAUAUCUCAAAGAGUGCAAGAGGAGAAACAGUACAAAUAUCUCUCAAAGAGUGCAACUUUCGUUUAAAGAGUGUAACUUUCAUCUUAAUGGAUGCAAUUUACAUCUAAAAGAGUGCAAUAAGAGGAGAAAUAGUGUAAAUAUCUCCCAAAGAGUAUAAUUUUUAUUUAAAAAGUGUAAUUUUCAUCUUAAAGCUGCAGUUUACAUCUUAAAUAGUGCAACUUAUAAUGUUUUUGCAGUUAACAAUGCAAUUUCAUCUCUAUCCUUCUAUUUCUAUAAUUUUUUAUCUUUAUUUUUUUCUUGUUUCUUUUAUAAUUUUUUUUAGUCACCCGUCUUGCCAACAGCCACGGCGCCGGUGACGACGCCGCUAAGGACCCCCAGCUCUGAGGCUGCAGUGCCGCAGCAACCUCCACGGUGUCGGCGUCGACGAAGAUGCAUUGUCGUCGUAGGCGGCAGAGGAAGAGGGAGAGGGAGAGGACGAGAAGGGCGGGGAAGGGCGAGAGAGGCGUCGUCGUCGGAGACGGCGGAGUAGAGUCAAAGAGGAAAAAAAAAAGUGUCGCGGCGCGGUCUCAGCGGAGUCGGAGGCGAGAAAGGUGGGGGGUGCGUGGGUAAGGGCAAGGGCGAGGGCGAGAGCAUGAGGGUGAGAGGCGAGGCGGACCGUUUCCGCCUCCGCCUCUGCCUCCGCUACUUUUUUUCGACGANCUCUGCCUCCGCUACUUUUUUCGGCAAGAGAAAAAAAAAAAGAACGAGUGAAACGAAAAUGAGAGAAAAAGAGGAGAGAGAAAAGUUAAUAAGGGUAUUUUGGUCAGUUUGCUGAAAAUUCGGACCGAAUCUGCAAAAUAAAAAAAGGCGGCUUAGUUUUGCAAAAGCCCAAAAUUAGUGGAAUUUUUAUGCAAAUUGGCCUUUUUCGUUUAACAACAUAUAUAUAUAUAUAUAUAUAUAUAGAGCUAGGCUCCUAUGCUUUCGAAAGUACAGAGCCUCCGUACUUGUAAGUUGUUUUUAAUAAUGGGACAUCCGAUUCGGCGAUCGGUUCCGUUAGACAUGAUCUACGCUAUUAGAACUACCUAGAAACCAAAUUUCAUAAAUUUUUUACUUCGUUUGUCUAGUAAACAAGUAGCCUCAAAAUAAACGGCUGAAAAUAAAAAAUCUCAUAAAAAAUAGUGAUAAAUGACUCAAAUUUCAAAUCAGAAGUAUUGGACUUGCUAUUGAUGUUAAGUAGAAUUUUCUAUUAAAUUUUCAUCUAAUUUGGAUACUUCUACACAGUUGAACUUAAAAACGUGCCACUUCGGCCGUUAAAAUAGUCAUUUUUGAGACCUUUUGAUCGCUUGGUAAAUCAUGUCAAAAAAUUAUAAAAUUUGGUUUCUAAAUAGUUCCAAUAGGGUAGAUUAUAGUUAACGGAGCCGAUCGUCGAAUCGGAUUUCCUAUCAUCGAAAACAACUUACAAGGACAGAGGUCUCCGUACUUUCGAAAGUACAGGAGACUUAUACUCUGUAUAAUUGGAUUACUAUACACCGUUAAACAAGCAAACGGCUCAUAUAGGCCGCAAAAAAUUGUCGAUUUUACGACACUUUGAUCACCAUGUAAAUUUUUUUAAAAUUUUAUGAAAUUUAGUUUCUAGAUAUUUCAAAUACUCUAGAUCAACUUCAACGGCUCCGAUCAUCGAUUCGGAAUCUCUAUAAUCAAAAACAAUUUAAUAGGACAAAUUUUUCGAUAUCAUUUACCGUAUGAUCAAAAGCUCAGAAAAUUGAUAAUUUUUAAUAGCCGGUAUGAGAUAUUUGCUAGUUUAACGGUAAAAAAGAAUCAGAAUAGGUUGAAUUUUUAAUAGAAAAUUCUAUUCACUAUCUAAAUAAAGAUCAAUAACUCCAAUCUUAAAUUGAACAAUCCGAUCAUCCAUUUUUAGGAUGUCAUUCAAUUUUAACCGUUCAUUUUAUACCUACUUGAUGGACUUUAUAAUGAUUUGAAAAAUUACGAAAUUUAUUUUCUAGAAGUUUUAAAUACUCUAGAUCAUGUUUAAUGGUGUGGAUCGUCGAUUCGAAAAGCCCGACAUCAAAAACCACUUAUAAGUAUAAAGGGCUCUAUACUCAUAAGAGUAUAGUAGCCUUACUCUAUAUAUAGAGUUGAGCUAGAAUACUAUCGAUAACAAACGAGUUUCGUUGCCACCCAUUUAUUUUCGAUGAUGAAGCCUUCAAAUAGAUGAUCGGUACUGUUGAACAUGAUCUACACCACUUGAAUUGUUUAGAAAUCAAAUUUCAUACAUUUUCGAUAUUAUUUUCUUAUCCAUUGAGUGAACACAAAAAUGAACGGCUGAAAAUAAAUAUUAUUUAAAAAAUGAUGAUAGGAGUCUUGUAAUCAUGAUCAACGGUAUAGAUCUUGUUUUAAAUAGUUUAAAAAAUUUUCUAACAAAAAUUCAAUUGAUUUGGAUAUCUUUACGUCAUUAAAAGAGAAAACAUCUCAUAUCGACCAUUAAAAUUACAAAUUUUGAAAUCCUUUGAUCACUAGGCAAAUGAUGUUGAAAAGAUUUGAAAUUUGAUUUCUAAACACUUCAAAUGGUAUAGAUCAUGUUCAACGGUGCCGAUCAUCGAUUUGGAGACUCUAUUAUCGAAAACAAAUGGGUGGCACCGGAAGCCGUUUGCUUUUGAUAGUAUUCUAGCUCAACUCCUAUAUAUAUAUAUAUAUAUGCUGGGGCUACUAUACUAUUAUGAGUAUAGAACCCCUUGUACUCAUAAAUUUUUAAUCGUUAAUUGAUGGGAUGUGUGGCUAGGAUGAUGGUGGUCCUCACUUAAAAUGAUAGUGGUCCCCUAGGGUUGAGUGGGUAGUUAGUUAAAUAGUACGAUCUAACGGGUGAAAAUGAUUAAUGGAAUAAUUCUAAGAACCGAAAACUUAUGAGUAUAAGGGAGCCAAUACUCAUAAAAGUAUAGUAACCGGACUCUAUAUAUAUAUAUAUAUAUAUAUAGAGAGAGAGAGAGAGAGAGAGAGAGAGAGAGAGAGAGCGCUAGACUGAUAUGCUAUCAGUAGCACGGAGGCCUCCGUGCUACCAAGUUGUUUUCAAUGAUGCCACUUCCAAAUCGACGAUCGGCUUCGUUAGACUUGAUCUACACUAUUAAAAGUAUUUUGAAACUAAAUUUCAUAAUUUUUCGGUAUCAUUUACCUAUCAAACGAGUAGUCUAAAAAUGAACGGCUGAAAAUAAAAAUCUCAUAAAAAAUGAUGAUAGAAGACUUGAAUUUAAGAUCAGAGGUACUGAUCUUACUCCAAAUAGUAAAAAGAAUUUUCUAUAAAAAAUUUAUUUGAUUUGGAUUGUUUUACACCGUUAAAUUUACAAAUGCAUCACAUCAACCAUUAAAAUUGUCAAUUUUGAGACCUUUUGAUCACUAGCCAAAUAAUGUCGAAAAAUUAUGAAAUUUAGUUUUCAAAUAUUUUUAAUAGUGUAGAUCAAGUUUAACGGAACCGAUCGUCGAUUUGGAAGCCGCAUCAUUGAAAACAACUUGGUAGCAUGGAGGCCUCCGUGCUAUCGAUAGUAUACCAGUCUAGCUCUAUAGUCUCUGUUUGACCUGGCAAAAUUUUUGCACCCAGAAGUUGUUUGGGAAGACCAAACUACAGUAUCAGAUUGCUACUAAGGCUUAGUUUAGUAUUGAAGCUCAUCUAACGCUAUUAGAUAAAAUAAAGUUAGGAUAAUAGUAUAUAGAGAUAAAUUUUUGCGUUCUCCGAUGGAACUGCAAAAAAUAUAUCGUAACUGACUCAUCGUGAUAUGCGAAAAGCAAUAUUAUAUACAGAAACAAAUAUGAUAUUUUUUUAUCAUACUUUCUCACUGUACGUAAUGUAAUAUCCCGCAAUUCCAAAUAAAGCCUAAGUUUGGCCAAAGGACUGACCGC